GGAAAACACACUCUCAAUAGUUCCAGUUAGCACACAUGAGCCUCUGUUAACUACUUACUAUAAGGCUUCGGACCAACAACUGAUCUCAUUCAUGCUUAAAUGGCCCAGUGAAAUAUAAUAAAAACAAGAUUUUUGAGGUCUUCAUCACACCUAUAGCAGAACCAGAGGAGAUAGCAGAACCAGAGAAGGAAAAGAAGAGAAGUUCGAACAAAAGAAAGAAGAAACUUCCCUUAAAAUGAGCUACUCGUAAGGGGAGAACAUCAAGAAGUAGAAAAGAGAAGUCUGCUAACCUGGAAAUCACUGAAAUGUCUAUCUCAGAUGGUGAAAUCAGAAACAGAAACAAGGUUAUAUGCUCUGGCAUGGACAUUAAUGUAAUGGAGAAGGGGAUCAUUUCCCCUCCGCAACUGGAGCAACAACCACCUGUUGAUAGUAGAAUGGAAGCUAAAGCUUGCUGGGAAGUUGGAAAGGCCAUUCUUUAGCUAGAUGAUGAUAGUGAUCAGAUUGUGGACACCUUGAAGGUUUUCAUAGAUAAAGAGCGGGAGGAUUGGAAAGGAAGGUUAGAGUAACAGUAAUGCUCCACGAAGAUAUUCUAGAUCUUGGUAUGUUGUUCCCUCAGUUGGUCUUUCUGGGGCCUGCUUUCUACAUGGAAUUCUCCCAGCUUUAAUGUCACUAAUACAAUGGUAGGAUAUUGCAUAUAGAAAGAGUCUUUACAUAGUACAAUACUGAUUGAGUGCUAUUUAUGGAUUAUUCCUCAAAGAAAGAAUUGUGGAGUUAUCUGGUGAAUUUCAAAUGUAACAUUUCUAAGCCAUGGUGCCUUGUUGGGGAUUUUAAUGAGACUAUCUCUUCUUCAGAUCGUAAAUAUUACUUGUUCUAUGAAAGCAUUUCAAUAAUGUUACAUGGAUAUUCUUUCUACUAACUACUAUCUUCUGUUAAAUUAUCUAUAUCUGAUAACUCUGUCAUAUCCCCUGUUCACGAAACAUUGCACACCAAGCAACUAAGUGUUUCCUUCAGAUGUUUGGUUCUAUGGUAUUCUGGGUUUCUUCUGCAACAUGUUAUUGAUACUAUGGUGUUCUGAGUUGCUUGCUUUUGAGAAGAAUUAAUUUUUUAUUUAUACUGAUUUCGUAAGAACAGUUGUGUUGAGAAUAAAGCACCGAUGCUUCGUGAUAUUGUAAUUACAGUUCCUUUGUGAGUUAAGUUACAAACACAUUGAUGUAUUUAUUUCUCACUUUGAAUAUCUUUUCAAAGUAUGUGCAGGUAGGUUGUGUACUGGUUAAACAAAAAAAAAAAGAACUUAAAAAUCAAGCAGGAUUUUCUAGUCAACAGUAACGGCUGCGUGCAUUGGCUCUUUUUUUUUUUUUUUUUAUAGAAGUAACACCCAAAUCAAAACAAAAAAGACAUGCCCAAAAAAAUAACAAAAAAAACACAUAUAUUAAGAGGCUGUUUGUUUAUGUGGUUGCAGCUGUGUUUUAAUUAAAAUGCAGUUUGCUGAUUUUCUAGUCAACAGUAACUGCUGCGUGCAUUGGCUCUUUCUGAAAUGCAGGUAAUGAAAAGCAAGGAAUUCCUGCUUUUCAUGCACUGUGUAUGCUAAUUAUACUAUUCACUUAACAGUGUAAUUAGCAUGAAUAGUGUAUAUUGUUCAUGUGAACAGUGCAAUAGAUUUGCACUGUUUAUUUAAAAAACAAUGAACAUUACAAUUCACUUGCACUGUUCAUGAGUGAAUUGCAUUGUUCACGUGAACAUUUUUUUUCCAGUGUGUUAAUAUUUUUAACAUUUUUUUAAAAAAAAAACUAGUUUAUAGUGAAUUAAAUUCACUCGCACUGUGAUGUGAACAAUAUUUUUUUUCCUGAAAAACUAGUAUAGAGUGAAUUAAAUUCACUCGCACUGUAAUAUCAAUUUUAUACCUGAUAAUAUUUUAUCUAAUUUUAUUACACGCUGAAACAAUUAUGAAAACUGUAGUUCUUAUCGGAAAUGGAAUUAUAAAUUGUUUAAAGGAAUAAUAAAAAAUAUUUUAUAUAAAGUAUUAUUUAUUUCAUGAUAUAAUAGGAGUAAUUAAUUCUACAAUAUUUAAAUUUAAAACCAUCAAUAUUAAUAUAUAUUUUUUAAAAUUAUUUUAUAACUUCAAUUUUAAAAGCAUUUUUAACCAAACACAUUAAACUACUUUUUCUUCAACCUCAAUUUCAACCACAGUUUUAAUCAAAUAUCUAUUUUUUCAAACCAACCUCAACUAAAAGUAUUUUUUAUAAAACAACUUUUUUCAAAUUACAACCACAGCACUACCCCAACACCAAAAACAUAAGUGACUCGAAAAAAUAUUUCUUGUAUCGAAUAAAGCUAAUGAAAAAAAUAAAAAUAAAACACAACCAUGAAGGAAAAGAGAAGCAGUACGAAAGAGGAAUCCAGUUCUCUAAAUCUGCGACUCUGGCGUUGUUCUCAUGUCAACUCCACUUGGAAUCGAAUUCACGAGCAUGAGUAAAAAUACUCGAAUCCAUGAGUAAUAGAGUAAUGUUUCUGAAAAAAAUUCUUAUUUAAAAUCAAAAAGUGACUACAAUGAGGGGGCUGCUUGUAUUUAUAAGCUGCCACCCUAAUUCUAAUAAGAGAAUCACUUACGGAAAUAAAUAGCAAAAUAAAAAAAACAGGAAAAUUCCUACUAGAAACAGUAAAUUAAAGUCUUAAACUUAAACAACAGUAAAUAGGAAAAAUAGCAAUCCCAAUUUAGGAGCCUAUGUUAACUAAGGAAAGAGUGGCUGGUAAUUGUUUUAUGGCAGUAGUUUUAGUUUAGGAUUCCUUCCGCAAGCUGUCCUGCAUCAAUAAGGUAGCGAGAAUGUUUAUUCGAAAAUUCACUGCAAUUUAGAAACACACAACUAUAUCCAUGAGUACUAAUAAUUUUUUUUAUUUAAUGAAACAGAAAGAAAAGACUAAUCAAAUGAAAUACCGCAGAAAAAAUAGCAUAAACUCUUGCACAUAAAACCGUAAGAUGUCAAAUGCUUGCAGAACUUACUUCAUGUUACUAGCUGCGUUGUUUAGUUUCUUCUUGCACCAUUUCUACGAGCAUUCUUCUUCGUUCUUCUUGCCUUCAGAUUCCAAUGAUCUUCAACCACUUUCAGAAACCAUGCUGGUUUUCUUGUCCUAAACACAACGUAUCCCAUUGUGACUCCAAACACAAACCCACAUCCAUACCCUAUGGCCACAGCUUUCCAUCCAAAUCCUUCUCCAAAGAAUUUUGAAUCAUCUCCAUCGUGAAAGUUUGAUGGCUGCGAUGGUGGUGCCUCGUCACUAUUGCAUUCUUUUGGCAUUGGAAAUCCACAUAAACCCAAGUUUCCUUCAAAUGAGCUUGCAUUAAACGUGUUGAAGUGCUUUCCACUGGGUAUGGGCCCCUCAAGCUGGUUAUGUGAAAGGUUUAAGACUCCAAGAAAUGUUAGAUCUGCCAACUGUACUGGAAUCCUUCCAGUAAACAAAUUUGAAGACAGAUCUAAUGAUUCCAGAUAGGUCAACAUUCCAAUAGAUGAUUGAAUAUGACCUGUAAGGGAAUUAUGAGAGAAGUUAAGUUGUUGGACUGCUUUAAGUUUUCCGAUCAACUCUGGAAUCUCUCCGGUGAAUUUGUUAUUUGACAAAUCAAGUAUUCUACGAGUGCUUUGGAUUUUCGUGAACUCAGUUUCAAACCCUUCCCAUGUCACUGCCAUCAUGUAAUAUAUAUUAGGAUUAUAGGUCAUUUUUGCUUCGAGAUUAUUGAAAUACCCUAUUGGCAAAGGUCCACUCAAACUAUUGUUGGAGAUGUCCAAAAUCCGCAAUUUGGAGAAUGAAUUAUUAGUAGUCGAACUAUUCACAAAACCUUGGAGUUUGUUGGACUUUAGUACAAGAACAUAAAGCUCUGGAAGUGUUUCUAGAAAAUAGGGAAAUGUGUCCUCAAUCUUAUUGUUGCCAAGAUCAAGAGCUUCCAGCAUUGUGCAGUUGAUGAUAGACGAUGGUAUUUUCCCUUCCAAUUCAUUGCCAUUUAGGUUGAGAUAUCCCAAGUUAUUCCCCUUUGAAAAUGGUGAAAAAAUAGUGCCUUGAAGAUUAUUCAUGCCAAGAUUCAAAAUUGAGAGAGAGUUGCUAAAGUUCCCUAAACAUUGUGGUAUAAAACCACUCAAGCUGUUGUUGGACAAAUCAAGGAGUCGAAGGAAUUUAAGCUUGCAAAUAGAAGAAGAAAUUUCACCUGUUAAUUUACUGUUGGAUGCAAGAACAAGGGCUUCCAAGUUCUCUUGUUUGAAAAUUGAACUUGGGAUUGGACCAUGCAAGUUGUUUUUGCUCAAAUCAAAGAAUCUCAAUGAAAGGGUAUUUAUUUGAGAAGAAAUAGGUCCUGAGAGUUGAUUAUUAGAUAAACCUAAAUUUUCAAGGAGGGUUAGGUUACCUAAAAAAUCUGGAAUCUGACCCAAAAAAUUAUUGGAAUCGAGAUACAAAAUACGAAGUUGCACAAGGUUUUCAACUGAUGAUGGAAUCUGACCGCCAAAAUUAUUAUCUGCGAGAUCUAAACGGGUGAGUUGAGUGAGAUGACCAAUCAGGGUUAGAUUUGAUCUUAUGAUAUUAGAGCUUCUAAGAGACAGAACUUCCAACAACUUUAGAUUAGUGAAGAAGUCAUUUUCUAAAUAAACUGAAAUUCUCGUAUGAGAAAGACCCAAUAACCAGAGGGCAUUACUCACAUUGGACGAAGGAAAAGAGCCAGUGAGGUCGCCGUUGAAUGUCAAAUCAAGUGAUUCAAGGUUUGGUAGUAGAAAGAUGUUACCUGGGAACUUCCCUUUCAAUCCACAACCCCAAAGGGCAAGAGCUGACAAGGAUGAGGACAGAUUCGCCAAGGAAUUAGGUGUGACCAAAGGCAUAUUUACAUAACCCAAACGGAGACCUCUUAGCUUGGUUAGGUUUUGAAUAGUCUUGUCAAAAGAACUUGGUUCUACACUCAAAUAAUCAUUGAAAGAGAGAUCAAUUGAAACCAACUCAGUGAGUUGGUCAAAAUCAUCUGGAAUUGAACCUGUAAGAUUGUUUUUUCUAAGAUCCAACAGCUGGAGGUGCUUAAAUUUUCUCAUUGAGGAUGGGAAUUUUCCUUGCAGUCCACAGGAAAAGAGUUUGAGUGAUGACAAAGAAGAAGACAGAUUCAUCAAGGAAUUGGGUGCAACCAAUGACAUGUUCACCCAACUCAGAUAGAGUUCUCUAAGGUGGGUUAGGUUUUGAACAAGCUUGUCAAAAGAAAUUGGUUCUAGACUUAGAUAGUCGUUUUCGUUUCCAGAGAGAGCAAGUGAAACCAACUCAGUGAGUUGCUCAAAAUCAUAUGGAAUUGGACCUGUAAGAUUGUUAUCUGCAAGAUCCAACUGCUGGAGGUGCUUAAAUUUUCUUAUUGAGGAUGGGAAUUUUCCUUGCAGUCCACAGGAAAAGAGUUUGAGUGAUGACAAAGAAGAAGACAGAUUCAUCAAGGAAUUGGGUACAACUAAUGACAUGUUUACCCGACUCAGAUCGAGUUCUCUAAGCUGGGUUAGAUUUCGAACAAACUUGUCAAAAGAAAUUGGUUCCAGACUUAGAUAGUCGUUUUCAUCUCCAGAGAGAUCAAGUGAAACCAAUUUGGAGAGAUGAGAGAUUUCCGACGGAACUUGACCUGCAAAGACUGAGUAAUUUAGGUUAAGAUAUGUCAGAUUGGAGAACUGGCCAAAUUGAGAAGAAAUAUGGGAGCUUUGGAAAUCAUUGUCAGAGAGGUCGAGCUUUUGAAGAUGAUGCAGGGAGAAGAGGGUGCUAUUGGAAUGGAGGGUGCCAUAAAGCAUGCUGCAAGCAAGGUCCAGUGCAGUGACUUGCCCGGUUUUCAUGUCACAAGUGACCCCAUCCCACAAGCAGCAGUCUGUACCCUCUUUCCACGACUCUGUCUUGGGAUGCUGGCAACGCCCUGAAGCAGAGCUAUUAAUGGAAAAGGACUCUUUGAAUUGGAGCAAAGAAAGGCUUUGGUCAGGAGCACAGAAAUGAGAUGAAGAGGAGUAAUUUGAUGAAGAAAUUGUUGUGUGAAAAUGGAAGAGAAACAGAAUGGAAGAGAGAAAUUGAGAGAGGGACAGUGGUGAAAACCCCAUGUUGGCUGGCCUUGCAGGAUUCGAAAGUAUAUUUGGAGUGUUGAACGAAAGAUGAGAAAUAAAGAUUUGCAUUGGUACUAUUUAUACACAAACCAAUCAAGAUUUAAGUACCCAACGUAGAUGAAAGUAUACGAGAAUUGUUGCAUAUGUUACGUCUAUGUUAAAUAAUCAUCAUUUAUCAAUUUGUGCCUAAUUUGUUGAAAAAUAAUUUGAAUACCAUUUUAAGUAAUCUAAAAACUAUGUUUAAAUUGUGAAAACACGUUGCCUAAGCAAGAGUGAGUGUUGGGAACGCGUUGCUUUUGCCUGAGUUGCUUUUAGAGCAAACCGCUUCAUGUUAUAUUUCCAUACAUGUAGGUCCCUUAUACAAUAGUGUUUGAAUGAUUUCUUGGCAAUCCCCUUCUCCUUUGCAACAAGGUUUUUCUUUUUUGUUUCGUGAGUCUUCCUUUGGAAACCAUACGGUACGGUAAGAGUUGACUCUUAACAGUGUUAAAUAUUGCAUUGCAAAUAUUUCCAUGCAAGUAGGUCCCUUAAUUUGUUGAUGACUGACGGUAUGUGUGACACAUUUAAAGACCAAGUCAAAGUCAUUAUUGAUCUUUCUCACUGCUGGGAGAAACAUCCUUAGCUGGGUGCUGACCAAAUUUUAAAUACAAGAAGACUAAACAAGAGUACUGAGUGUUGGAAACACGGUAAUUAUAUUAAUGAAUUCUUAUUUGUUGCUUUUGCAUGAGUUGCUUUUAGAGCAAACCGUUUCAUAUUAUAUAUUUCCAUACCAGGAGGUCCCUUAACUGACUACACACAAGAGUGUUGGAGGCACCGCAAUAUUAAUCUUCAUAAUUGACACUUGUGCAAAUUUCUAGCUAUUCAUAGUUCAUUUUAAAUUUUAGGUACAGACAAUGGUUGUAAAUUCCAUUCAAUUGUGACUGAUAUAUCUUAUUCUAGUUUAAAAAAUAAAACUAACUAGAACAAAAUUUAUCUCACUUAGAAUUUCAGCUCAUUCCAAAAACUCCAUCUAAAUUUUAUGAGCAUAUUCACCUUGACUAAUAAAACACGUUUUGGAGCCAUACGUGACUGUCAAGAACAAAUCAGUGAGUUUCAUGGGCCAAAACGAAUAAUAUCUUACUAGUGGGGUGUGGUGUUACUGGAAAGUUCAGCAUAGUCAGGAACUUGUUAGAUUUCUGAAUGUCAUACACAUAGCGAAAAUAAUAAAACAAAAUUAUUUAGGAGUCCCUAGAAUCAUGUUAGACAUAUCUAAAGUUGUUUAGGAAUUUAUUACCUAAAGAUAUAAUCUUCUUCUGCUUUGAAUAAUUAUUUAAAGGGUAGGUUGUCAUAAUUACAAGUUAUCCAAUUGUCUGACCUCCAACAGUAAUCCACACGAACCACCAGUGAGGAAUCUCCUAAAAACCUAUUUAAGAGAGAUGAAUUGUUAUGUCUAGAGUACUAGCUCUCUAUUUUGUGACUGUAGUUUUUUUAUCUAACAAACAACAACUCCAAAAUAAGAGGCAUAAGCUGAGGUAUAAGAGAUACCUAUAAUUAAUAUGCAUGAGAAUUUCUUAUGGAGAGAUCACUUAUGUUUAUGGAAAGGCUCACGCGAUAGUUGUGUAAGUGAUUCUUAAAAUUGAGAUCAUUAAGUCAUCUUAUAUAAAUAAUGUUAUACUUUGAUCCUGUUACAUGUUAUCCUAAUCAAGGUAACAAAAGAGCAGACAUUAGGUAUAUCAUGAACUAUAUGAAAGUACUUGAGUGAUCAAGAGAAUAUUCAUCACCUUAGAUGAAUUAAGAAAAAUAUUUCAUCUAUUCUCAAAUAGUAUUGAUUGAUAAUUAUUUUGGCCAAUGUGGAAUUAGAUUUAAAAAGAGUUUCAUAUCUUAUUCAAACGAUCAAUGACUAUUAUAUAGAGAAUAAACAUGAUUUAAUUUGCAGAUAUACUAUAUGCUUUAAUGUUAAAUUAGAACAUUAUUGAUAUUUAUUAUGCUGAGAAACUAGUCACUAAAAGGUUAAGUUAAACCACUAAUGACUUAUAAUAUUUAGAGGAUCAUGACACGUUGUUAGACGAUGCACCUAAUCUUUAAAUAUAAAUUAAUCAAUUGUUGAAUUAAUAAUAAAUUAAAUUAUUUAAUCUAUUUAAUUCUAUUUAAUUAGAAUUAGAAUUUAUAUUUAGGCCUACAUAUUAGAAACCUAAUGAGUUACACACAUUAAGAAUCAUUAAUAAAAAAUUAAACUAUGAUGAUUUAAUUAAGUAUGACUUGAUUAAAAUAUAUUUUAGAAAUUAAGAACUAGAUUAUAAUUAAUACAAAGAUUAUAUUUCUAGACUUAUAAAAUCAAGUAAGAACUUAAUUGAGUUACUUUCUAUGUUAUCUUUAAAUAAUAUAUGGAUAUUAUUUAAGGAACAAAUAAAUAUUUUAUUAUUUAUAGGAUUUUUAAAGAUUUUCUAUAAAUAUAAAGCUAAGCCUAUUAUUUUGUAAGUGAAAAAAAAGUAUGGUUUUUUGUUAGAUAGAAAAACUACGUGAACACAAUAUUAAAGCUAGCACUCUAAGCUUACACAAUUCAUCUCUCUUAAAUAGGGAAUUAUGAGAUUUCUCACGAGUGGUUCGUGUGAAUUACCAUUGAAGACUGGACAAUUAGAUAACUUGUAGUUUGCGAUAUUCCAGCCUUUAAAAAAAUAUUCAACGUCGAAAAAGAUCAUAUCUUCAGGAAUAAAUCCCUAAACAAUUCUAUAUCUAUAUAUUUGUUUCAUAGUUUCCAUGAAAUAAUUUUGUUUCAUAGUUUCCAUGAAAUAAUUUUGUUUCAUAGUUUCCAUUGCGUGGAUGAUAUUCAAAGAUCCAACAAAUAGAACAUUGACCAUGAACAUUUAGUAAUAAUACUUUGAUACAAUAAAAAUAUCAUAAUUAUAACAACUUUAUAAUUUCUUAUGCAAAUCAAUUUUUUUCUAUAGACUUUAUCUUUACUCUAGAUUCAUUAACCAAAUAUAAAAUGAUAAUUAAAGAUAAAGAUAAAGAUAAAGAAAGCUUCUAUUACUAAUAAAUAUAUUUUAUAUAAAUAAAAUUAGCACUAUAUAUAAUCAAUUGAUUAGCUACAGAUGAUAUUCACUAACAUAAAAGUUGCAAUAAGCACAUCAACAUUAUAUAUCUAGCUAUUUGAGAACACGUCAAAGCAAAUAAAAUGGUUGUUGAACACAUCAACACUGGAUUGAUGAUUGUUAAUUCAUUGAUAAAAAGUUUACCAUCUGUAGCUUAUAAAAGACAUGCUGAGCAUACGAACUCUAUACUGAACGGUAUGGUAUUUGUAUUUUCUGACAAUUGAAAUCUAAUUGCUAUGGCUAGAAAUAUAUGCUCGUAAACUUCAUGAUAGCAUUGCUAACAGGGAGGGGAGCUGUUUUAUCCACAUAUGAACUCUGUGCUGAACCUCCACUUGACAUUUCCAUAACCAGGAUAAUGGACAUCUCUUUCACCAAGAAGCUUUCCACCGCUCUGGAAGGCGAAUGCAAGUCACGACCUAAACAGGGUCAGAUGGGGCACAUGUUGUCAGAAAUCGAAUUUUAACUUGUUCGAACAUAAGCAGAAGUAGGCUCGCGCAAAACUUCGCCAGAGAGAAUUCACAGCUAAGGAAAACCAACAUGGCAGCAAGCAAAGAACCAUACAUAGCACGAAGAGAAAAUACAACAGGAAAGAAGACUUUAUCGUAUUGAUUUCCAUACAUAACAAAGAAGUGAAAAUCCACAGGAAAGAGAAAAUAGUCAAGGCUCGUCCGCAUGGAAAGAAGACUUUAUCGAAUUGAUUUCCAUCUUAUAAAUUGCAAGAUUUGUCUUCUCAUUCCAGUAAAAGUUGGGACACGGCACACUGAACCUAAUCUUCCAAAAUCUAAUAAGCAGUACAAUCAUGUCAUGACAUCUCGUUAGUGUGCGUUCACCAGGUCUCGAACCCUAUAUCAUGCUCUCUUAGAUGCCUUAGCAUUGUAUAUACAGCAUUACCAAAAACGUGGGUUUUGUAAUCUAUUUUUUAGGAAGAUCUUAUUUUCUAGGCCUGGUUACUCUGCCAAUGAUGAUUCUCUAGCUGGUUCUACCACCAAAGGCUCUAAUCUCUCAGCUUCGUCAUUUCCUUUAGGUAUGAUGAGACCAUAUCCACCAGCUUUUCUUUUGUAAACAAUAUUUAUCUCACCUGGAAUCAAGCACACAGCAACUCAGUACCUAUAUAAGUUAACAGAUUGCAGAGGAUAAGUGAAAAACAAAUUGAAACAAGCUGCAUAAGUUCAUACCAGUUUCUUCAUUCCUGAAACCAUAGAAAUCAUGAUCGACAUUUUCCAGCUGCUCAAUAGCUUCCGAGACAGUCAAAGGUGGCAUGUCAAAAAACUUUGUGCGAACAACCUGGCAAUCGGUUUAGAAUUUAGAGAGAGAAUCUAUGGCAGACAAGAAUGAUAUAUGCAGGUUCGCAGUGAAAUGAACUAACAAAGUUACAAAUUGAAGGAAUGUUAUUUAUAUAGUUUCAACUGUUGGUAUCAGUGCAUUGUGUAACAGUCUGUUACCAACAAUAUCGAAAACAAUUGAGGGAAGAUAACUGUGAAACUUCAAAGUUUAAGGAAGAGUCUUAUCCUGGUUGGAAGACUAACUCUAAGAGCAGAACAUAUAAGGGACAACUCCACUCAAAAAGAUCUCUAGAUAAGGAGAUAAAGAACUUGAAGUUCAAUUUCCUUGGCGGCAGGGGGGAAGGAAAUUUGAAUUUCUUUUCCCAUUUCUUUAGCUUGUUCUGUUCCAGUUUCUUAAUAUAAAUAACAGCCACUGUUGGCUGCAGUAGGGGCAUCUGAGAGUGAAUUCUGUUAUGUCUUUUGUUUAGAAAUUUAGGAGGUUGGCUACCUUGAAUAAUUCAGAACUAGGAACAAGGCUUGGCUUUGUUAUUUUAUUUCAUUGUAUAAGUUCCAGCAGUGAGUUGUUCAAUUUUCCAGCAGCUAGGCUUGUUACACAAUGGCACCAAGCUGCAAGGAAGGAUUUUCAGUGCCAAGCCAUAAUUUGAAAAGAUUGAGACUCAAAUCCUUUAUGAGCACAAAAUUUGUGUGAAACAAUUUCCUUUCACAGAGUCUAUAAAUGAUUAGCUAAGAGAAUCAACAUGGCAUUAGCCAUGGCACAAGGUAUGAUCCUAAAUUUCUGCAAAUUAGACAUGCCACACUGGUCACUAGAUGGUGGAAUAGGAAAAGCUCUUUAUGGUGUAUAGAUUAUUCUAUGACCAUAUUGAAUGAACUCAUGAACAGAUGAGACCUAAAUUUGGUGAUGCAAAACAAUGCAUAGCAACCAAAUAGAAGCAAAAACAAUAAUGACAACAUAAACAACGAGAUUAUUUUGAUUAAACAGUAAUUUAAGAGAGACAAACCUCUUCGAUGGAGUCCUCAACUUCUUGCUGUGAAACUUCAUCCGCAUCACCCUCCACCACUUGUGGCACUGGUUCUCUAACCUUCAGCCUAUUAAACCCUUUCAUGUGUCUACCAUGAUCAGACUCCUUCUCCUUAAUCUUCCUCAACUUUCUUUGGAUAAUUGACGACACCAGAUCAAUACUUGCAUAGAUUGUCUCAGCAUCUUCCUCUGCUCUCACCACUCCAUGCCUAUUUGUAAACAAAGUCACCUACAAGGAAAACCAGUCCAUGAAGAAAAGAAAAGAAACCAAUUUAAAGCAAACCCAAGAGCAUGAAAGCUAACUUUCAAUUAAAAAUGUAAAUGGUACCUCGCAUCUUCUAAUUCUCGGACCUUUCCCCAACUCUCCACCUCUAACAGACAAUCUUACAUCAACUUCCCUAACAAGAUGACUAUGUUUUUGAACUGCCUUUCCUACUUUGUCUUCCACAUGUCUCUUAACUGUAUCAGUUAACUGUACCAAACCAAACAUUUUGUUACAUUUACAAUUUGGACAGUAAAUAACAAAAAAAAAAAAAAUCAAAACUUGAAUCAUUUUAAAGAAUUCAAAGACAUAAAGAAUUAGAAAUGUAAAUUUAGAAGUUAGAAUCUUUAGAGAGUUUAAAAGCAAAACCUCCAAGUUUUUGCCUUGAAUGAUUAAUUUGACAGAGUGAAGUGGACCAUCCCAUGACAUCUUAACUGAGCAACCACCAUGGGUUAAAGGAGUCCUUGCUGUCCUUCCCAACUCAAUAAAGCUCAUAUUUUUGCCUAAAAAACUGGACUUGAGAGAUGAUUUUGGGAUCUGGGUCUUGGUAGAAAUGACUGAAGAAGAAGCUAGUGAAGUCUUAGGUGGUGUUGGUGAUAAUGAGACAAAUGGGUUGUUAAAGCUUGUCUGCAAAGUACCUUCUACAAGAGAAGCCAUUGACAAUUUUUCUUUGAGGUCUGUUUGGAUUGCUGAAAAACGUAGGAAAACGUGAGGUUUUUGGAAAGAUCUCUCUCUGGCAAGAGAAAUGGAUAAGGACACGUCAGCUGAUUGAUGUUCAAUGCUGGGUUUUGUUUGGUCCCCACAAGAUGUGGACUGAAUCUUUAGGCUCAUGAGCCCAGAAAGUUUCAAUCUUCAUGUCUUUAGUGGAUAUUAUGACAUGGGCUUAUGGGCUCAAUGUGUUGGUGCCCAUAUCUCAUUUCCUUAUGCUUGAACACCUGACCAAGUGUGAUCUUGCUCUGGCCUCCAAUUUCUUCUGCCCAGAAUCUGUGACAAAAAUCAAAAAAAGAAAAAAAGAAAAGAUAAGGAAAUAUGUUGAAAGCUUUGUUGGUUUUAAGCCAAUCAAAUUCUUUUGUGUGAUUAAAAAGUUAUGGUGUUAAUUGAUUCAACCAUCAAAUUGAAUCAAAUGUUUAGGUUAGUCUCUAUUCAUAAACAAAAUCUUAGUCAGUCUAGACUUUUAUUUUUCUCAUUUUUUCAACAAUCACGGAAAAUUUCAAAGCAAUUUGUAUUUCAAUCGAUUUUUUAUUUCUUGUAAGAAGAAUAAAUUCUCUAAUAUGUUAGUUUAAGAUUCAAACUUAGAAUGAUAAUAGAUGAGGAAAAUUAGAAUUUUGGAUAGUGUUUAAAAACAGGAGGGAUAAAAAUAUAUUUAGUUGGAGGAAUAAAAACCGUCAUAAAAUAAAUUUUUUUAUAAUAAUUUUAAAAUAAAUUCUUAUAAUUUCAAAAUAAAAAAUCUAGACACGUGUCAUUUUUGUCUCAAGUAUAUCUGUUUUUUUUUUAAUCUCAAAAUAAUAAUUAAAUGUUAACUUUAUAAAUAAUCUUAAAAGUAUGUUUUAUAUUGCUAAAUUACACACACACACACACACACACACACACACACACACACACACACACACACACAUAUAUAUAUAUAUAUAUAUAUAUAUAUAUAUAAUUUUUUUUAGAUGAUAGCCUUAAAAUCCAAAUUUAAAAAUCUAGAAAAAAGAUCCUUGAACACUAAACAUUUCCAUUAAAGAAAGGCUAAACCCUUAUAAUAUCAAAGUAUUAUUAUGAGGUGUUACCCUUCGCUAAACAUGUGUACGAGCUGUUACCCUUCGCUUCCAUGUUGUGCUGCCUUGCCAUUAAAGUUGUGGAUUCAACUUUGAAGAGUUUAUGAAAGGAAAAUACGAGAAAGGAAAAGGAUAAAGGAGGCACGAAGGGUCCGUAUCAUAAGAGCCAUAUGGCAUUGCUUUUGCAUUUUUGUGAGGACAGCUUAUCCCACUAGCUACAAUCUAAAGCUUGUAAGCAAACCAUGCAACACAUCAUCAUCUUCAACAAUGGCCACACACGUACAAGCUAGAGGGUGAUUGAUAAUUAAAGUAGACACGAGGAUUCUAAUGACUUGAUUAGUUUAAUUUAUCAUGUAAAAUAGAUGAAUGCAAUCCCAAUUGUCCAAUGAAAAGCAAACACAACAGGAGGUGAAAUCGAACCCCACAUGUUGUCCAAGAGGAGGGAUAGUGGGUACAUUGGUUUAGAUGCCAUUUCCUUCAAUAAUCAAGCGAGUAGAAGCAAGAUCUCAUGACCAAAGAGAGUGAAGCUACCAUAGCCCAAUUAAAAAAGAAGCAUGUCAUCUCUGGUUGACAAAAGCCGCCACCACAAAUCAUAACCAUCCUUUAAUGCCCUUCCAUGUGGAAAAAUCCUAACCAUGAGAUGGCAAUUGUCUCCUUCGAAGCACUUACAAAAAUAUCUCAACACCCCAGAUGAAAAAGUAUCCUCCACUCGCAAAAUAUCAAAAGAAAUAUCUGAGAGGGGAGAAGCAGCUGGUUUAAGGGGAAGUGGAAGAAACUUGUUCGCCUUUUGUUGUUGACCCUUAAAUAUGCACCACCAAACUAAAGAGACCAAAGCUUCCCAGUGAGCCAUCCAUUCACUUCUGAUCCUUAAACACUAUUACACCACAAGUUGGUACAUGGACUCUGUACGCAGAUGGGGUGGCUGAUGUGUCCAGAUAUGGACCCAUACACUAGUGGCAUCUAGAUAUUUUGGAUAUUUUUAGGGAUGCCAAAUUGUGGACUGUAGGAUCAGAUGGGGUAGGCAAUGGAAUCUAUAUCACAACCAUUGGAUCUUGGGACGAUAUUAGAGGUGGUGGGUUAUUUCAGAUAUUUUUAGAAUUUUUAGGAGAGAGUUAGAUUUUUCUGUGUUUUAUGCUGCACUUGCCAACAACAAGACCAAGAAAAGCACCUCCCAAAAAAAAGUGCUAAAAAAUACUGAGACUUUAGAGGCAGGGAGAGAUUGUAACGUAAUGGGGGAGGUAGUGAUUAGUAGUGGUGAAGAAUUGGAGGUGAGAUCAAAGAGUGAAAGAGAGGAGGAAAAACAGAGGAAACAGAGUAAAGAAGAAACAGGGGAGGUGAAAAAAAAGAAGAAAAAGAAGAAAGAAGGUGAAGGUUUGAAUGACGGGUUAGUGAGAUGGGACGGGUUUCUACCAAGAAUGGUGUUAAGGGUGUUGUUAGUUGAAGCUGAUGAUUCAACUAGACAGAUAAUUGCUGCUCUUCUUAGGAAAUGUAGUUAUAGAGGUAAGUUGCUUGAUCUUGUUUCUCAAACUGGUUCAAUUGUUGUGUUUUUAUUAAUUUUGUGAUUAUUCUUGUGAACUGGGUUCUUGUUGGUUUUUCUUUUUGUGUUCUUUUUUCUUAAGCAUGGUUGCUUGUGAUGUGUGUUUAUGUUUUGUUUGAUGGAGAAAUGAGGAGUCUUGUUUUGUAACAUUAUGGUUUUGGGACUCAAGUUGCAGGUUUUUUUCUUUUAAGUAUGCAUGUAUGUUGGUCUAAACUUGGCCUCUGAAGAUAAGGACUGUUAUGUGCAGCUUGUGAUUUGAGGUUAAGUUCUUGUUAAGCUAGUUAUUUAUUGACAUGAUUUCUAGUUGUUUUGAGACCAGGAAAAGAUCUUCUUUGUAUUAUAACGAGGAAUAUGUUUUCCUUCUUUCUUUUAAUUCUGCUAUCUUGCUCUUCUGGUUUUGAUGGAUAAGUUGGAACGAUAGCCAUAUAGGGAAGAAGGAAACAAAAAUUUCAAAUUUUACAGAAACUGGAAAGGUACAAGUGAUUUGAAUCAGUUCUGAUGCAUCUAACAAAAGAAAGCUCUACAAGGCCAACAGACAUCCACUUAAAGCAAGUCUAAUCUUAAUUUGUAGGGAUAUUGGAUGUUUGUUGGGCAUGAAAAAAUAACUAAUCCAAGUUUGGAAAAUAUGAAUGCACCUAAAUUGCCUAAGAACCAGGACUAUGGAGCAGAAAACAGGAUUGAAUGGUGGACUUUGGCCUUAAAAACAACUUUGGAUAAAGCUUUUCAUAUAUAUCUUGCAAUACUCAUUAUUUUAAGUAGUUCAAGAUUCAUGGUCAUUUGAAUUAGGCAUUGUGCUGAAAAAGAAAAAUAAUUAUCUUUUAGACCUUAUUAAGCUUCUAUCGAUGAAAAGCAAGUCUUCUUCUUUCCCAGCAUGGCUAAUAACAUGCUGCCAUACCUGGUGACAUCCAUAUGGGGAAAAUGUAUACUACCAGGACAUGAACUCCUUAUAUCCACUUAGAUUGAAGUAGCCUUUCAUCGCCCUACUAGAAGUCACUGUCAAAGAGCUCGCCCUACCUUUGGUAGGCCUAAGAUAGAAAUUUGGCUCUUGGUGUCAGGGAUCCUGUGCUUGCAGGCUUUAGGAAAUUUGACUAUUGGUGUGAGAGUUCCUGUCCUUUGACUUAUUUUAUUUCUACCACUUGAUGUCGCAAUAUAUUCAGUACUAAAGUAUAUGCCAGAUGCUAAAUAUUUCAUAACGUUUUGUAAGCACUGAGAUGAUUUUCUUCUUCUUUUUUGUUUUCUGUUGAGCAGUUGUUAGUGUUCCUGAUGGCUUAAAGGCAUGGGAGAUACUGAAAGGAAGGCCACAUGGCAUAGACCUCAUAUUGACUGAAGUGGAUUUGCCUUCGAUAUCUGGAUAUCCUCUUCUUACUAUUAUAAUGGAGCAUGAGAUUUGCAAAAACAUUCCAGUCAUAAGUAUGAUAGGAAGAAUGAAUUUCUAGAUGAAUAGAAAUGAUUUAAUUAUCCCCCAUGAUAAGGGAACUUACAUCUGCUUUUGGGUGAUUUUGCAGUGAUGUCCUCUCAGGAUUCAAUUAGUACAGUUUAUAAAUGCAUGUUGAGAGGUGCUGCUGACUAUCUUGUCAAGCCUUUAAGGAAAAAUGAACUGAGAAACUUGUGGCAACAUGUAUGGAGAAGACAAUCUGUAUGUCUUCUUUGCACUUAAUCGUUUAUAUCAUUUUCUCUUCUUUUCAUGUUAAUUUAAGGUUAUUAACCUCUCAUUCUAGAUGAGCCCUAACCAGUUCCCAUUUUCUCAGUCCCUUGCUGGAGGAAAUGGCCCCCAAGAUGAAAGCGUUGGACAGGACAAGAUUGAAGCCACUUCAGAAAAUAGUCCUGCCAGCAAUCAUGCAAGUGGAGAAAUGGCUUCUAUUCAGAGGAGUAAAGGGCAAACAGAGAAAGGGAGUGAUGCUCAGGUUAGUACUCUUUCAUAAAUGAGAGAGCAUAUGCUUUUCUUGGUGCAUGGCUUGGCAUGAGACCUCUCUAAAAAGAUGAAGUUUGUUCUUUCAUGUGCUUCUGUAAUAAAAGCAUAACUACCAUUCUGCCAAUUCACAUUUCUUUUAUUAGUAGCCUCAUGUGAAGAUUUCUUAUUAAAUGGAAAUAAAGGUGCCUCAGAUGUUUUUGAGGUGAAUUUUGUAGUGUUUAGUCGAAAAAGCUGGAAACAUUUCAAGCCAAAUACAAUUUACUCAGAUUAGGUCAUGGUGCUUGAAAGUUGAAACAUUAUUUGGACAACAUGGGCCCAUUCUUCUGCUAUAGCCUCAACUGAAACCCUUUGUCAGGUUUAAUUUAAAUGAGAACACCAUCUUUUAAAUCUUUAGUCAUUGUUUCAAUUCAUCCUCUUAGUCAGUCAUGAACUGAUUUCAAUUGCUUAUUCUAGACUUAUUCAGAUUCCAUAUGAGUCUCAUCUUACGAAUUGAUUCACUGUCCAUCUAGAAUGCUGAAUCCCUUAGGUGAAUGUGACUCAUGGGAUAAUUGAAUAGUUCUAGAAUCUCGAUUAUAUAUAUCAUCUGGGACAUACAUAUCAUCAUUUACGAGUCCACUUAUGAUUAAAAGAAAUUUCCUUCCUGUUUUGGUUGGCUACAUGAGGUUUCAUUUAGAGAGUGGAUGUUUGUUUUCUCUUGCAGAGCUCUUGUACAAAGCCAGACUUGGAAGCUGAGAGCAGCCACAUGGAAAAUAUGCAGGAAUUUUUGCAGCCUGUACGGAGCAUAUUUUCGUUGACUGACAUGAAUAUGCAGAAGCGUGAAAUGCAUGUGAAUCUGGGUCAGAAAUUGCUUUUGCAUGAUAGAGAAGCUGAAGGUAAAAGUACUGAACAAUUUCAUCUAGCAUUAUCAUAUUUGUUAAAUUCUUUGAGGAUAACUAACAUUUUGUGUAUGUUUCACUUGAAUUAGGUUCAGCUGCAGCUGCCCGUGAGGAUGCUAAUAUAAUGGAUGUGGACAAGGAAAUUUCUCCAGGAAAUGGAAGAACGGGUGCUUAUGUUGCCAUUGAGAGUUGUGACAACGAUGUUGCCCUUGCCAACUCUCACAGAGAAGCCUUUGAUUUCAUGGGAGCAUCUACUAAUCGCAGUUCUUCUUUCAAUAACGUCAAAAUCAACUUUGAUUCUUCUCCACAUUUGGAUCUUUCCUUGAGAAGAUCUCAUCCAAGUGGGUUUGAGAUUCGAGAUACGGAAGAAAGACGGGCUCUCUGGCAUUCUAAUGCCUCAGCCUUUACACAGUGAGUUCCUAUUUCUGUUCACUAUAUCGUUGAUACAAUUUAUGUUUUGGUUGUCACUAAACUAGCAGGAGAUAAACAGAUAUAGCCUGUAGCAUCUGUUUUCUAAUACAUUCAAUGAUGUUCCUGCAGGUACAUUAACAGGCCUCUACAGCUUCCACAUUCAGCACUGGAAAGUACUGGGAAUCAGAAGGAAUUAGGAACCAAUUAUGACAGAAAAAUAUCCAGUACUGGCUAUAACUCUGAUGCCCUGAGUCUAGCACCAAGCACUCAAAAAAGUGAGAUCUCUCUGGCAGCUGGUCAAACCAAGGAAUCUGAAAUUGCAACUUCAUCUCCUGGACAAAGAGUGUUUCCUAUCCAAAUUCCAGCGAAAGAAACAAGACUCAAUAAUCUAUGCAACAGUUAUGGCUCCGUGUUUCCCCCAAUAUUUUGCAAACAAUCAGGUUUAUCACCAAUGAUGAGUCCAAGUUCAGCUUGCCAGCAAGAGCCCACCUAUAAGGUGAACCAAUUUCAACAUUCCAAUCAUGGGAGCACCUCCGAACAGAAUCGACUUGGUCAACAUACAAAUGAUUCCACCAAUGGUUCACUACAAAAGCAAGAAGACAGAUUGGAUUCCUUGGAAGAUAGAGGACUUAUUUCUCCUGCCACUGAUCAGAGUGCAAGUAGUAGUUUCUGUAAUGGUGCUGCAAGUCACUUUAACAGCAUGGGCUAUGGAAGCACUUCUGGAAGCAAUGGCAAUGUUGAUCAAGUUGCUAUUGUCAGGGAUGCUUCUGAGAGCAAGAAUGAGGAAGGUGCUUUCACACAUUCAUACUCUCACAGAUCUAUUCAAAGAGAAGCAGCUCUAACUAAGUUUCGCUUGAAGCGAAAAGAGAGAUGCUAUGAGAAGAAGGUAUGUUGUCACCUUCAUCUGUCAUCUUCACCACUGUUGCAGCAACAUAGUAAUACGAUUAGCAUUGAUUAUUGUCUGGUUACAGUGACAAAGUGAGAAACACUUAACAACACCACAAUUAGAAUAGUAAAUAUGUGGUUCAUUUUAAAAAAAAUAGAAUUUAUGUGCAGGUUCGGUAUGAGAGCAGAAAAAAACUUGCUGAGCAGCGUCCUAGAGUGAAAGGACAAUUUGUUCGCCAAGUGCACAUUGAUCCCUCACCUGCGGAAACUGAUCAGUAGAGUGGAAAUUCAAGUGAUAACUUAGAGGGCACUGAUUGUAUCUUCGUUUUGCUCCUUGAAGUCUAGAGGGAACAAUAUGUUAGUCUGAAGUUGUUCCUGGCAUCACGUCCAUGCUUGAGCCGAUUUGUAGAUAUAACUGCGUAGUUUUCUAUUUCACAGGUUUUUCUUCCGUACAUUCCAUGAGGAACAUCCUCUCUUAAUUUUUGACGUUUAGGUUCUUUUACGUCAAAAACAUGUAGGUAUUUAGUACAUGAACUAGGAAAACUUGUCGUCUUCAUGUCUUGAAAUACAGCAAGAUCCAACCAGCUCGUCUAUGCCUGGUUUUCAAGCUUGGCUUCGUUUAUGUUUCUGUGGCCAUUUUUCUGACUAAUUGUUAUAUAUCUUUCAGACCAUUGAACUACAGGUGUUGUAAUUUGUUGAUUAUGCAAGUGAUAGUUUUGUAAAAGUGCCUUCUCAACUACAUAGAUAUUUUGAACAGGUUUUUAUGCCUAAUGGAACUGAACAGCAUGAUCUGUUUUUGUUUGUAUAUAAUCUGAAAUGAGUUAUUAAGAUGGUGGGUUAUUUUAGUCUGUGACUGACUUACAACUCCCGGAGCAAAAUUGAGUGGAGAUUGAAGGAAAGGUUUCUCUUUUCAGCAGCUCUGAUUAAAGAAUCCUGUUGUUCUCAAUAGCUCCGCCCUUGUAUUAUAGUUCAUGAUGCAGUCUUUUUGUUUAGCUGACUGACUGCUUCUAACAUUAAGGUAAUGUCCGGCAUAAAGCUUUGAAUCUUUUAAGAAAGCUGGGUGCUGGUUAAACAUUGUGCUUUCUCAUUGUUGUGGAAGGGUUUAUGUCUCAAUCAUUUGUUUUCUCGAGUGACUUUCCUUUUCCUGCCAGUACUGAAAAAACAUACAAGUAGGUCAAGUUCGGGUCUAAAUUUGUACCAAAAACAUGGGUUGCAUGGAUUAUGUUGUUGCUUCCUGUAACUAGGACAGCUGGCAAGCUUGGUAGUCAUCACACCAGUGCAAUGAUCACAAGUACUGAUGCGUUUUCCUGUGGGCUCAAAUAUGUUUUACAUCUUACACAAGGCUCCUUUUUCCUGAAGUGUUUGGUAUGGUGAAAGUGAAGUUUCAAAAGAGAGGAGUUGCAUCAGGAGCCACUCAGGUUGCUUGCUUUUUUCUUCCUACUUUUUUUUUAAUUUUUGGUGUACCAAAUGGCCCUGCCAAUGCACUUUGAAGGAUGAUGAUGGCUGACUGAUAGGACGUAUUUCAAUGGGAUGAUGAAGUAGUGGUAUAUACCAAAUGUAGAAAAAUACAUGGGCUUUAAAACAAUCCAGUUCACGGGGCACUGCCAUGAUAUCAGAACUUCAUUUAGCUUUUUCUGAUUGAUGGUUUUCAAAAUAUUGUUACCCCACCCUGGAAAAGAAUGCAAGGCAGGCAGGAUUGGAGCGUAACACUCCCAUUCUGAAGCAUUUAAGAGAUAGUGAGGAGGCUUCCUCGAAACUAUAUUUUGUUCCAUCAUUAGUUAAAAACUUCUUUUUUUAAAAAAAAAUAAAUCUGGGUUAUAAAAAACUACAAUAUAACUAUAAUAUAUAAUUUUUUCUAAUCCACACUUGCAACAAAAAUUACACCUAACACGUAGUGGCAAUACUGUGGAGAAUCCUAAACAGUGAGCUAGUACGAGGGCCACUUUCACCAGCCUCAUCUGCACAUCCUUUAAUUAUCUCUAAAAUAUCAAAGAAAUAUAAAGCCAAACUUCUUUUUUUAUCUAUCCUGUUAUAAAUAAUGAAUAAUGGGUCCAAAACGGGUCCUAUAACAAAGAAAAUAAGCAAAUUUUAUCCAGCAAAGAAGAACAGAUGAGAAAUCACUAAGAUCCUGGGGUCAUCUAGCUUUCUUUUUUGAUUGGAAGACACGAAAACUGCAAACAGAAGCCUUUCAAAAGUGAACCUAAAAGGCUAAAACCAUUCUUUCCCUUGAUUUCAAUCCUCUAAUGCCUUGUGGGUUCUGCAAGUAGGGUUAUGGUUUCUAACACGAAAUAUUCUUUUGAGGAUCCUAAUUAGGAGGUCCCAUGGCUUCAUCAUACAAGGCUUACCUGAUCAUGGCAUGGUAGAGUACUCGAACGGCUGAGAUUUCAUCAAACAUCACACUAACCAUAGUUUCUUAACUAACAUCCUACUAUACCAACCCUUUUCUUAAGCAAAAAGUAAUGGCAGCCGCUACUCAAAAGCUAGUUUAGAGAUUCUCCAUGUUUUCUCUUUGAACUCUUUCCUGUGCACAGCUCAAUAAAACAAAAGACACCCACAACUUGAAAACUCUUUUGUGAUUAGUUAAACAGGAAUAUUAAUCACCAUCAACUUAUUGUCCUUGAAUCUAAAUUUCAUUUUCAACAUAAUUAGUUAGUUUUUAGCCCUUUACUAGAACGUACACAAGUUGAGCAAGUAAAGAGAGAGAGUUACGGAGAAGCCACUAGGCCAAUGCAUUAUUACUCACACACUUAUCUCCACUACUCCACAAGAAAGGCUACUGGCUACUACACUAUAGUCUUGCUCUUUUAAAAGCCUUACUUUCCUUACAAUUAUCAUUAUAGUGUUUCCAACGUAUCCUAUCUUGUCAAUCAUCAUGUUAGCUAUAUGAUCCUUCCCUUGUAAAAGCAUGCAUAUAAUAUAAACCAGAAAAGUAAAGCCUGUUGAUAAUUACAAUGUUGAUAGAGGUUCCAAAUCUCAGAUACCGGGACCCUAUCAGAUGUUCAAUGCUCCUAGCUAUAUAUUUCUGUGAUUGUUGCCCACAAAUAACACAGGAACUGAAAAUAAUAGCUCUUGUGAUAGGAAUUGUAGGAGAAGUGUAGAUUUUUUUAAAGGUGACAAAGACCUAGAAAAAGACCACCUUCACAUAGCUCUAGUAAUGCUACGACAUUGAGUUGUGCUGGACAUUGUAAAAUGAAUCAACUCUUGGUGGAACCUGAUUAAACAAAGACAGUAUGAACAAUAUUAUCUUAUGGGGUCGACACAUAAAUUAAUACCGUAGAAGCAACCACCUCUUACCCUAACAAAUAUGAGAUUGCAAUCACUUUUUGAAUUUCCAAGUUCAUAUUGGAAAAUACUAUUGACUUCCAAGGCAAUGAAAAACAACAAGUCAGAAAGCUUUUUCUAAAAAGGAUAGCGUUGCCCCACCAUGUACACUAUAAGAUCCGUUACAUUCAGGGAAAGCAGGUGCACUAGUUGAAUUGAAUAAUCCAACGGUGGAGAUGAAUGCAUUACAUAUUAAUUUUAUAACCAUAGAUUUAAGGGUGAAUUCGAGAAGUUUACAAGGAAACAUCUCUUAACAACUCCUUUAUAUAUGAACCAGUCAAAAGCAUGGCAGAGCAAAAUAAUUGCGCUGCUUUGUGUAAUUUCCAGUGCUCCCUUUUAUUAACCCCCAUCAUUUCUGCCUUCCUUAGCCUUGUAAACUUAGCCUUGUAAACCUCCUCUGCUCAUCAUCCUCUCCCCUUCCCUCCCCCUCGCCUUUGCCUCCCUACUGCAAAUGUCUCUAGUCUCCAUAGAAUCUCCAAAACACUGUGCCAAGCAAGGACUAAACGUCAACAAGCUAUCCAAGAAGCUUUUCUUUGCCUCUUCGGCAUUCUUCACCACACUUCUCUCACUAAUAUUGAUCAUCUGGCUUAUCCUGCGCCCUGCCAAACCUGAGUUCUCUCUCAAAGAGGCUGAUAUCUACCAACUCAGCCUCUCAGCUCCUAACCUUCUUAACUCCUCUAUCCAACUUACCCUACUUUCCAAGAACCCGAAUCAAAAAGUCGGCGUUUACUACGACGAAUUACAAGUUUAUGCUGCCUACAGGGGUCAGCAGAUAACUGUUGACUCCCCCCUUCCUCCAUUCUACCAAGGACAUCAGGAUAGCAAUCUAUUAACAGCAUCUUUAGUUGGAACUGGAUUGCCUGUGGCUCCAUCCUUCAAUUACGAAGUGGGGCGUGAUCAGACUGCUGGAAAACUAGUUCUAAAUCUAAGGGUUAAUGGAAGGAUCAGGUGGAAGGUAGGGACUUGGGUUUCAGGCAGAUACCGAAUCAAUGUUAAUUGCCUUGCAGUUAUGGCUCUUGGACCUACUCUUCCAACAGGACCUUUGAGUUCAAAGCAAGGGACUGCAUGCUCCACCACUGUCUGAAUAAGAUCCGCCAAGCAACAAACUAAGCUACUAGUGAGUUACUUAGUACUACUUGCUAAGAUAUUUAAUCUUGUGGUCUACAUGUUUUUGCUUCUCCGAAGUGUUGUAAAUUAAUUAUAGUACAAGCUAAGACUACAGUUAAUUAAGAUGAGAGUAUUAAUGAAACCUUGUGGAUUUUGCACUUUUAUCUUUUAUCAUGGCAACUUCGAUUUUGCUUAGCAUGUGAUAGUUGGAGAUUGAAAAGGCAGGAUUCCAGAGAUCCUUGAGGUGGGUUUUUUUAGGUUGAAGAUGAUGUUGAGGGGUUCUUACCAACCCAGCGGCAAUAACGGAAGCGGCAGAAAUCAAUGGAUUCAUUAUAAGUUCCUCGCACCAAAAGUUGGUAUUGGGCACGCUUUAUUUGUUUGAGUGUUUCAACUUUGCUUCUCUGAAUGUUCUCUGAGCAGAAAGAAAUGGAGUGAGACUGAUAGAGAUGAGAAUCUGAGGAGAAAAGGAGAUGAAGGCAGGAAAUUUACUUGCUGCCUUUGCCAUGAAUGAAAUUUCCACGUCAAUCCUUCAGCUUUAGUGCUCACAGGAUAACAUUAGUGCUCCUGGGUCCCUAUGACCAUAAGAUUUCUGGAAUCUUUUCUCUCAAAUUUACUUUCUUCUGUCUGCCUUUCAAACCAUACUACUCACGUAACACAACUGAAUCUGUAUGCUAAUGAAUAUACCAAGGAAUUUUUUUACCAAGGAACAUACUAAUUCCAGGUCAUGGAAUUUUCUGUCUCCAAAAGCCCUAAAAAUAUUAUAUUGAUCAUACACAUCUACUGCUGCAAGUGAAGAAUAAAAUUCCAGAUUCCAGAUUUUUACCCUUCUUAUCCGACCUCUCCUGUCUCCAAAAAUAAGGCUAAUUGAUUAAAAAAAUACCAUGAACUUUCGGGUCAACACAGAAAGUUAAUUUCUAACCUAUUUUUAUUCUGAUUCUGGUCGUGUAUUUAUUUAUCAAUAUAUAAUAUUGUUUUCUCAUCCGAAUUGUUGUAUGUUUAUUAAAUUUGGCCACAUAUUAGUCAAUUAAAACAUGGCAUGUGUUCUAAGACACUCCCCAAACAUGCGAUCACAAGAACAUGUGUCAUGUUUUGAACUUAAUAGUGGACGCUUUUUUGGAUUGAAGGACUACAGUAAUUUUGGAAUCCAAAUCAUAUUUCCUUUUCAUCAAAGGUUGAUGAGCAUAUUUUUUAAGCAAUUAGCCCAAAAAUAAUUCAAACUAUCGAAGUAAAAUAGUAAACCAAAGCUAAAAUGUGUUCACACCAGAGGCCAAACUACUGCAUGUAAAGACAGGAAUAUACUCAUAUAAAUUCUUAACUCAAGGAAGGACAAGGGCAUAAAGAAAGAACAUACAUGUGCCACCACCUUUUAUAUUGCACAUCUUUUGCCUUUUGGUACCUUUUACUGGCAAUGUCUAUUCUUCACAGCUAUAUGAGAGCUCGCUAUCAAACAGUCAAAGCCAUUUUGUGACUAACAAUUGAUGUUGUGGUGAAAAAAAAAAGUAAUACAUUCCAUUACUAUUUCUCUUACCUAAGAAAGAGAAACGUCUAUUGCCACAAUUUUCAAAAGUGAUAAGCCUUUUCAAUAUGAUUUCAAAAGCUAGCUGCUUUCAACCUCGUAUACCUUGAGAACUUGCUGAUGAAGAACAGCAUUUUAACAGGGUUAAAUGCAGCACAAGCUCAACUAAGAUGUAGAGUGUUUCACGUGAAGCAAGUAUUUUUAUUAUAUUGAGUUGAUAAGCUUUUCAGCUCAAAAAUAGGCAUCUAUUCCCAAUCAAAGCACAAAAUUGCCACUGUUAUUUGCUAAUGGAAUGUAAGAAAAAUAAGCAUGCCACAGAAUGGGACUUUGUUUUGAUUUUUACGUUUGUUUCAUCUAAACAAAAUAUUUAAUUCUGAUGGUAAAAUCCAAUCACAUCAUUCUUUGAUUCAAUCCAUGUAUCUUCUCUUCUUUUUAUUUAUUUAUUUAUAAUAGUCGAGGUGUUUUAUUUCAAAGACAGGUCUACCAUUGAGACAAUGGUAUCCCAGUUAGAAAAAAGUUAUUAAAAGUACAAGUGAAAGCAUUGAUUUGCAAAGAUAAAGGAGGAAUGCAAAAUAUAUACACAAAAAAGAUUUGAAUUGUAAAAAUUAUGGAUCAUCACUUAUUUGUCCACUCUUUGGGCUUCUAAAUAGAUCAUUCUCAGUAUAUGAGAAAUUUGCAUCCAUAGCUUUCAACCCGAGAGACAAACGAUGAAGAAUAAACUCAAACAUUGUAUUCCGAACUGACAUGAUAUUUUCAAAAAUCAGUUUAUUUCUUGCACUCCAAGUGUUCCACAAAACCCCAUAAGACAAUAUUGCAAGUGUUUGUCGCUGGAAUUAACCUUUUACUAGAACACUCCAUUGCAAAACAACUUGAUCAAUAGACUCUGGCAUGCACUAACUAAUACCCAACCAAUUCAUAAAACGUUUGCAAAGGUGCCAAGAUGCAUAACAAUAAAGAAAAAGUUGAUUCACAUUCUCUAUGCCAGUGUUGUAAAUAGGGCAAGUUGCUUGACUGAGAUUAAGCAAUCGCCUCCAUACGAGAAAAUCCCUUGUACAUGUUCAAUGUAGGAGUAAAAGCCACAAGAACAUUUCAAUCUUAGAGGGAGCAAAUUCAUUCCAUAUCAGUUUAGUGAAAUUGAAUGUAUAUGAAUACUCUGCUUUGUAUAUAUACUCUGAAUAAUCUAAGAACAUUUCAAUCUUAAAGGGAGCAAGACUUGAGAGUCUAUUGUCUAGUGCAUUCAGCUGCCUAUUGCCUUAAAUCCUCUUUGUGUGCACUCAAGUUGGCCCUAUCUAAUAGGACAACAAGCUGUUGAAGUUGUGUCUAAUCUGAAGAUCUUAACCUCGGAUUCCAUAUAAAGUCCUAGUGCUAUGAAUCUUCCCUAAAGUCCCCCAUUUCUACUAGUGUCGCUGUUUUGGAUUUUUAUACUUUAUAAAGCCGUAGGAAACAAGAUUGAAAAGUCCCUACCUGUAGCCAUUUAUCUGUCUAGAAUUUUAUGGUUUUCCCAUUACCCACCUUGAAAUAGCACUCAUUAUUCAAGAUAGUUGAAGUUGCCAAAUCAAAGUUAAUAAUGGAGUAAAUGCCUUUCCAUGGCUGUGAUAAUGUAGCACUGAAAACUGGAAGGCCAUUGACAUAAGAAGGCUUAUACUUGUGUUUGAUAAUGUCCUACCACCCUCCAGAAUUGGAGUCUCCUAGCUACCAUAGCCACUUAAAUAACUACUUUUUUUUUUCUUUGUAAAGAACCCACACCUAGACCUCCUCUUGCCUUAUCUCUCGCAACCACUUUCCAAGAUACCUUACAAAUCUUUCUUGUAUCGGAGACACCAGCUUAUAGAAUUAACCUUCGAUGGAUAGAAGAUAUAAUUUGAGCAACACCUUUUAGCAUUAGAAAAAUAGACAUAUAGUAUAUGGGGAGUGUACAUAUGACUGUUUCUAGAAGACAAACCCUACCAGUCAUGCUUAACAGUCUUCUUUUCCAUAAUCUAAGUCGUGUUCUGAUUUUAUUGAUGACUGGCUUCCAAGUUGAAAGUUUUGUAAGAUUAGCAUCCAGAAAAAGUCUUAAAUAAGUGAUAGGCAAUUUAUCUGGAAGGAAUUUAGUGUGAUAGAGCCUUAGAUUAUGUUUAGUUAGUGUCUUAAGACAUAAAUGAUAGAUAUGAAAGUGAUAAAAACAUAUUUGAGCACUAGAGAGAUGAAGAUAGAACACAAAAUAAAUUUAUUAACAAUUUUAAAGUGAUUUUUAGUUUUUUCAAAAUAAAAAAUGUAUGGAAACAUUUUUUUUUUUUUUUUAGUUUUUGUCUCUUGUGUAUUGAAGUGGUAACUACACCUUAACUUAAAGCCUAAUCAAACCAUCUUGUUCAUAUUGCACUUGUCCAAAAUACAAGAGAAGAGCAUUCAAGUUUGAGUUAAUUUUACACCUAAAUUAUUUUAUUUUCACAAUCAAAUCAAUAUCUCAAAUAACUCUUUUAUUAGUAUCAACGACACUCAACACAUCUUAGUAUAAAAUCCUGUUUAUUAAUUUUUAUAUUUUAAAAAUAUUUUUGAAAAACAACCACAAUCAGAUCUUAGUCUUAAUGGUCACCAUCUUUGUCACCUUCACAUCACAACAGGUCCAUAUCACACUAGAAUGACACCAAAACGAACAUAUAUAUUCCUUAUUCCUUGAAAAUCCUCAUAAACUCAUCUACAUAUUUACAAAUCCAGGACCGAAAGCCACUCUUCUUUAUAGGCAAAUCCCCAACUUUGUUUCUAAUUUUCAAGCAGCAGAAGUAACAACACCACCACUAAACAAAUAAAUAAUCUCCACCAACAUCAGGAAUGUGGGGUAGAGUUAUCCAUGUGGUAAGGGAGAUAGAGGUGAUGAAACAGAGUGAAGUGAAGAGUGAGCGAGAGGAGAUGAGGCACAUAAAAGGUAUCUUGAGGCGAAAAGUUUUCACAGAUAUACAAGUAGGAAUUCUUUCCAAACACAUCCACUUUCUUAUUUGCACUAAAUUGAUUCGAUUCAACUGGAUUCCAUUUCCCUUUGGCUUUCAAAAAAGUUAGGAAACUACAAAAGGGUUGUUCCUUUACCUAAAAUGGCAAGUCAAAAUCACCAGCGGUCUCCAUAAUUUACAUUAAAGGAUAUUUUUUUGGAACAUGGCAAGGUUUUGAUCAUAUGAUUCAUUAGUUGAAUCAAUAAUUAGAGGAUCACAUCCAAAUAAGGCCAUUAUAAACUUACUUCCUCUAGGUCAUUAAACUGUCAUGCUUAGAGACAAUCUAACUAGCAAUAAAUUAGAUUAUGUAAAUCAAAUCAAUCAUAUUUUAAGAAAAACAAUAAUUAUAUGAUUCAUGUAAACCAAAAUAAUUAUCAUAUUAUAACAAAAUUAAAUUGCAACAUCAAAUGACGACCUAAAGGCCUUAAAAAAGAAAGAAACAAAAAGAGGACCGGCCCAGCAACCAUGUGAAAAUAUGAAUACCUAAGGUGUGUUACAGCGCUCUCUCAUCUUCCUGAAAGCUACAUACAUAUCUGUGUAUAUAUGUAUAGCUACUCCCAAGCAGCAAAAAUUAGUAACAUGGAUACCAAAGUCCUUUCCUCUAGCAUCCAGUAUACGAACUUAUCGGCAAGCUAUGUUAGGCCAGAAUCUGAACAUCCCCAAUUGCGAGAAGUUUACCGUGCAAAAAUGUUCCUGUCAUAGAUUUAGGUUGUCAAGAUAGGAACCAAAAUGUCCAACAAGUUGGCGAUGCCUGCAAGAAGCACGGUUUAUUCCAGGUUAGACCCUUUUGCUUGUAAUGAGAAAUUGAUAGAAGAGCUCAAGGCUGAAAUGCUUCCAAAGACACUCCAUGAUUGAUCAUCUGCCAUUCAUAAACCAAAAGAUUCACAAUAUAUACAAACCACCUAUUUAAAUUAUCUAGCUAUCUAUACUCUAUCUAAUCAUCCUGCCAAAAUAAUCAAGUAAUGAAAGGAUUGAUAAGCCCUGACGAGACAAGUUUCAAAAUAUUCUACUACUAUUAAAAUAUAAAAGAAAAGAAUAGAAAAAACAAGGAAGAUAUAGAAGAUAGGCUAACCUGGAAAAAGCCAUAGUUCUUGCAGGCAUCGCCAACUUGUUCGGCAAUUUGAUCCCUUUCCUGACAACCUGAAUCUAUGACGGGAACAUUUUCGCACGUUGAAACUUCCCACAACCGGAGACGUUCAGAUUCCGGCCUUACAUUGCUUGCCGGCAAGUUUGUAUACGGGAUUUCAGAAGAAAGGACUUUUGUAUCGAUAUUCCUAAUUAAAAGAAGUAACAAAAGAUGAAAAAAAGACAGAAAAUUAUUAUAAAUUAAAGAGUGGGUACUAAGAUGGGCACCCUUCAAUUUUUGCUGCCUGGCAUGUGUGUGGCUUCCAGGAAGAUGAGAGAGCUCCGCAACACCCCUAAUGUAUUUAUACUUGCACGUGAAAUCUAGGGAGGCCCUUAUAAGUCGUCAUUUGAUGCUUUAAUCUAACUUUAUUAUAAUAUGAUGAUUAGUUUGGUACAAAUAAAUCAUGUAAUUAUUAUUUUUUAAAAAAAUAUGAUUGAUUUGAUUUGCAUAAUCAAUUCUAUUUUAUUUUUUUAUCGGGAAAUUAAUUAAUUGGAGGGAGUUGGAAUCCCUCGUUGAUAGCUAUUUGCUGUGCAGGCGGCUUUAAGUUAAAUACCACAAAGAAGAACUUUUUACACUGGAAUAUUAACACGUGAUAUGGGAUAGGUUGGGUUAAAUUUUUCUUAACCGUAAAAAAUUUUUUAGAUAUCGCUAUUUUUUUUAUGAAAAAAAUUUAAAUGAUGUAAAGGUUGAUUUGAUAUAACUCAAAUGAUUUUACGGGUUUAAAAAUAAUUUAUACAAACCCGUAAAAAUAUAAUUUGACUAAAAGAAUUUUAAGAUAAUAUUUUUUUUAAUAUUAAGAUAACAAUAUAUUGAAUUGACUUGGGUCAAUUCGAGUUAACAUGUCAAAUUUGCGACCUGAAUUUUGAAACUAUGAUAACCCCAUAUAAAGUAAAUCAAAAUAAAUUAUGAAGUUCAAUUCUCAAUCAACUCAAUAUUAAAUAAUGAAAUGAAAAAAAAAAUUAAUUAAAAAAGAACCUAAAAAAGUGACCUGAGUUAACUGUCAAAACCGUAACUCGGAUCAUGAAAGUGAUGUAACCCUAUGGAAGACAAAUAAAAAAAAAUUAUGAAUUUCAAUCCACAAUAAGUUCAUUGUUGAAGGAUGUUAUUAAAAAAAUAAAUCAAUUAUAAAAUAACAUAAAAAACAACCUGAGUUAAUUUAUCAAACCCAUGACCUUAGUCAUUAGUCCAAGAUAACCUCAUAGAAAAAAAAUUAAAAAAUAACUUCAUUUAACUCGGGUUAACCUAUCAAUUUUACACUUUGUUCAUGAGAUUGAGAUAACUCCAUAGAGAGCAUAUUUAAAACAAAUUAUGAAGCUCAAUUUCUAAUCAUCCUUAUCGAACCCAAUGUUGAACGAUAAAAUUUAUAAUUAAAAAAUGACAAAAAAUAAAGUCAACUCGGGUUAACCCAUUAAGCACUAUUAUCGAGUCAUAAGGUUGUGAUAACUUAAUAAAAAGCAAACUGAAACAAAUCAUGAAGUCUAAUUCUCAAUCAAACACGAUAUUAAAUGAUGAAAUUGAGAAAAAAAUCAAUUAAAAAUAAUAAUAACUAAGUCAAUCAAGUUAACUUGUCAAACUCGGGAUCCGGAUCAUGAGACUUGGCCAACCCAAUAAAAAACAAAUCCAAUAUUGAAGGACUUGUGACCUGAGCCAUGAGACCGAGAUAACCGUUUAGAAAAAAAAAACAAAAACACAACUCAAUUUAACCAAGGUUAAAAUGCUAAAACUUGUAACCUUAAUCAUGAGACCAAGAUAUCCCUAUAGAAAAGAAAUAAAAAAAAUAGUAUGAAGCUCAAUUCCUAACCGUCCCAGUGUUGAAUGAUGAAAUUGAAAAAAAAAUAAUUAAACAAAAUGACAGAAAAAAACAACUUGAGUUAACUAGUAAAACAUUAUUCCUGUGUCAUAAGACUUAAAUAACAUAAUAGAAAGUAAAAAAAAAACAAAUCAUGAAAUCUAAUUCUCAAUCAAUCCAAUAUUAAAUGAUGAAAUUGAAAAAAAAAGUUAAUUAAGAAAAAUAAAAUUGAAUCAAUUGAGUUAACUUAUCAAACAAAAUUAACUUGCCAAAUUGGCGAUCCAUGUUAUGAGAGUAUGAUAACUCAAUAAAAACCAAAUUUAAUAUUAAAAAAAAACAUUGGUUAAAAAAUCAAAGAAAAAAAAAACAAAACAUUAUUCAAAUAAAUAAUGAUUUGUGAGGAGGGGUACAAUAAAACCCCUUCCUGUUUUAGUUUAUAGUUAAUAUAUUGUUAAUUAAAUUAAAUUACUUAAUAUAUUUAAAAGAGUUAGGGUGUCAAGUUAUUUGGUUCAAUGUUCAUAUAAUCAGUAAAGUAAGUUAUUAUUAUUUUUUCUAACUUUUUUUUCCUUUCAAUCAAACCCUUUUAAAGCCAAAUUAUAAGAAAUUAGGCUUGAAAUUAUGGUACAAAUAAAAAAUAUAAAGAUAGGGGAUUAAAAUGUAAAAUAUAGAGAAAAUACAUGGUUCAUCUCACAUUGAUGAAAACUUUUAUUUUAGUCUAAAAGUUUUUAUUUUAUUUAUUUUUCAGUCACUAAAUUAGAGAUAAGAGAGAAAAACUUACUUGAAAAUGACGAAGAGAGAAAAAGUGAUCAGUUGAAAUUAAUUACGACUAUGAAAAAAAUUGAUCUUGUUGUCAAAUGAUUUUAUUAAACAAAAGGAGUUUUAUCGUGGUGUUCUUUAGCCUUCAUCUUACCUGAAAUUAUAGAUAUGGUCUUGGGAAGUUUUAUCAAUUCAGGGUGAUUUUUUUUCAACUCACUUUUAGGUUAUUUAAUAUUGUAAAUGAGUUUAUUUAGGUCUUUCAAAGUAAUUUUUAAGUGUUUUUUAGUAUAAACAACUAAAAAUAAAUUUUUGGAUCCAAAAUUUAUCUUCCUCAAUUUUCCAAACACAUUUGCGGUGGCUUUAUUAUAGAAAAUAAAUAAACAAGUCAUAUAUUGUCUAAUUUUUUUCUAAGAAAAAAGUAAAUGACAAGUCAUCUUCCUUUUAUUAAAAAAAAAAGAACCUACCCCUUUUUUAGUUUUUAUAUAAUUUAUAACAUCUAUAAGUAUUUUUUUCUUCAAUCAUAUACAAAAUAUUAACUUGUUUGAAUGUUUCAUUUUAAAUUUGCUUUUAAAACCAUAAUAAAUUUUUAUUUAGAAAACAAUACUCAAAAUUUACAAAACAUCUCAAUACUAAGUUUAGCCUAAGUGUUAUGAGUGUCCUUUUUUUUUUUUUUGUAUUAUGAAACAAAAGAUAAUUUCAAAAUGCAAAGCUAAGAUGAGAGUUUUAAUCACAAUAUCAAAAAAAUUCUUCAUAAUCUAAACAUUAUUUUUUAAUGUUUAAAAAAGUUGUUUGGUAUUAAUUCCUUUCUUUAUUGUUGUUGAUCAUAGUGUUUUGAGAUUCUACAUGAUUUGGUUUUUGUUUCAUCUAGUGUUAGGUGGAUUGUCGAGCAUGUAACGUUUGUCUAGUCUAUGCAUCUAUCUGCCAGUUUAAUGAAAAUCUAGACAUGGUUUUGGCUGUGAAAAACAUCAAUCUGAUGUUGACUGGUGCGAUAUUAACUGCAAAAAUUAUGAAAAGCGAGACAAAAGCAACCUAGCUAGUAAAGUGUGGUGGGGAUGGAGAUCUGAAAGUGGCUCUCUGGCCCAAAGCAGACGUUGCUCUUUUAUUUUUGGAUGGUUCCCCGAGAUUGAGGAAUCCAGAAUUAUGCUCGUUAAGUGCUGGAUUUUGAGAUCCGCCAUCACUUUCUACUGUUUUUCUUACCAGAAUCCCACGUGUGGUUAAUAAGAACAAGAUAUAAAUUGUCCAUUGCAGUUAUUGUACAGUCCAGAAACAUCAAACUUUGUUUUUCUAAGCUAGCCCGUACUUGUCAAGAGGAUAGCAAUGGAGUCUAAGAUAGUACCUCCAGCUGUGAACCUUCUCCUUCUUCACAUUUAGACUUGUAGAAAGUCUCAUUGUCUUUGAUGGAUUAUCACAUUACAGAAUCAGCUUCUCCUAACAAUUUCUCCUCUGCUUCCAAAUACACUCCAUGAAUGAUCACCUGCCAUUCAUAAACAAAAAGAUUCAUUGUACACAUUGAAAAUAUAUUAAAAUAUAUAUUUUUUUUAUUUUUGACAUUGAAAACCAAAUUCAUCAAAAAAUUCUUAAAAAAACCAUUAUUGUUUUUAGAGAGGCUCAUUCUAGCACCCUCCCACCAAUACACAAAUACCACUUAACUAUAGCCAACCCAAACUACUCAUCCUUAUUCUUUCUUUCUUCUCACAAUGGACUAAACUUUGUUAAACAACCCAAAGAAAUAAAAAGAACUAUAAAAAUAAAAAAGGAGGAGGUUAGGGUUUCAUUGAUACUGCAUAAUCACAAUAAUCUAAAUGAAUAAGUUUAAUCUAAAUACAAAGAGAUUAUAUAUAUACUAAUCUGAAAAGAAAAUAAAAAUAUUAUUUCACCCUUAAUAAAUAAAACAAAAUAACCAUAUAUUUCUUAAUAUCUCCCCUCAAAUUUACGAUGCGACAACUAUAAGCAUUAAUAGUUUGCCAACAAGAAAACGCAAACAGGGAAUAAAAUGCGACUUGGUAAAUAAAUCUGCAAUCUACAAAGAAAAAGAAAAAGAAAAAAGCAAAGUAAUGGUGUCAUGCUUGAGACGAUGACGAGUAAGAUGACAAUCGAUCUCAAUGUGCUUAGUUCGUUCAUGAAAAACCAAGUUGUGAGCAAUCUGAAUAGAACUCUGGUUGUCACAAUACAUAGGAGUGGGAUGAGAAAGGAAAACUCACAUAUCUGCAAGUAACCAACAUAACCAAACAAUCUCUUUGGUAGUAGAUAUCAUAGCAUGAUAUUUUGCUUCGGUUGAAGAUUGAGAAACAAUUGAUUAUUUCUUGUUAUUCCAAGAAAUAAGAGAAUCACCUAAAAAAAUACAGAAACCAGUAACAGACUUGCGAUCUGUGGGAUCACUAUCAUUAUCAGCAUUAGAGUAUGCACGCAUCUCUAAGAAAGAAGUGGAUGAAAGUAAAAAACUCUAAAAGAUUGUACCCCGAAAAUAUCGCAAAAUACAAAGAACAACUGCUCAAUAAAUGGUAGUAGGAGAAACAACAAAAUGACUAACAACAUCAAUAAUAUAUUCAAUAUCUGGACGAGUAAUAGUGAGAUAUAUCAAGCUCUCAACAAUAGUAUAAUAUAAAGUAGGAUCUGACAAAGAUAAACCAUAAAAAAAUACUGUGUGUUAACCUCAAUGGGAGUAUCUACAGUUUUAUUAUCAGUAAGUCUAACCCACUCAAGAAUAUCUGCAACAUAUUUCGACUAAGAAAUGAGAUAAUCUCUAGGUGAGUAGAUUACCUUAAUAUCCAAGAAAUAUCGUAGUGAACCUGAGAUGAUAAACUAUCAGAAUCCUUAGAAAAAAAGAUUCAUAUUAAUAAGAUCAGAUCUAGUCAAGCUAUUAGUAGUGGAUGAAAUAGAAAAUAAAGGUAUAUGCUUGAGAAAGACAACAUGACGAGACACAUAAAGUUUUUGAGUUAUUAAAUCAAAAUAACAAUACCUCUUUUUACCUUCACCAUAACCAAGAAAGACACAAAUAGUAGAUCGAGAGGGAAAUUUAUAGUGUUCUAUAUGAGGACGAAGAACAAAACAAAGUACAACAAAAAACUCUAAAGAAUAAAUAAUCAAGAGCAUACCCAUACAAUUUUUCAAAAUGAGAAAAACCUGAAAUAUGAGAAGAUAAAAUUGUAUUAAUCAGACCUACAGUAGAAAGAACAACUUCUCCCCAAAACACACUAGGAACAAAAGUAGACAACAAGAAAGAAUGAGUAGUUUCAACAAUGUGCCUAUGUUUUCUUUCAACAACGUCAUUUUGCUCAAGAGUAUCUAUGUAUGAAGUUUGGUGAAUGGUUUCAUCUAAGGUAAGCAACUCACAAAAUCUAUUAGAAAUGUAUUCCCCACCCAAAUCACACCUAAAAUAUUUAAUAUAGCAUAAUGUUGAGUUUUGACAAGAGCUCGAAAGGCUGUAAUAUCUCAAAGAAUUUAGAAUAAUGUUUCAUUAAAUAAACCAACAAUAAUGAGUAUGAUCAUCAAUAAACAAAAACAUAAUAUCGAGACCCUCCUUUUAUGGAAAUAGAAGAAAGUCCUUAUACAUUAGAAUGAAUCAAAUCAAAUGAAAAAGAAAAAACAGAAAUACUUUGAUUAAAAAGUAAAGCGGAAAAUUUUGUCAGUUUACAUCCACUACAAUUAGAAAUAUCACAAGUUUGUAAAUUUCAUAAAGCUCCUAUGGAUACCAACAAUCUCAAAUGAGAAGACGAAACAUGACCUAGACGAGAAUGUCAUAAAUAAAAACUACAAAAAAAAGAGACUCAAAUGAAAAAAAGACAAAUCAACACCAGUAGUAGCAGCAGCAAUAGUAACUGACACUUUUAACUCAUCUAAAAUAAAUAGUCUCUUCUACCUAUGAGCUGUCUUGAUCAACUUCUAAGACUACUGAUCUUGUACACAACAACAAAAAAAGAAAAAAUGACUAAAUAAUCACUAAAAUUGCAUAAUUGAUCAACAUAAACAAGAUUUAAUAUGAGUUUCAGAAUAAGAUAAACAUUAGAGAAAGACAAGUGAUGUGUGAUAAUAGAAUCAACACCUGUUAAGGGUAUGCGAGUGCCAUCAACAGUCAUGACAGGAAUAGAAGGUGAAGGGGACAUAGAAGCAAAAGAUGAAAAAUCUAGAGAUAUAUGACGUGAAACACCAAAAUCUAAAACCUAUUCAGAAAGUGACAUAUUUAAAGAACUAUGAGGCAACUAAUAUACAGAAAAAGAAGCAGAUAUAGGUUGUGGCUGUAAGGAGAGAAACUUCUAAAAUUGCUCAACCAAAAUGCUAGGAUCGGUGAAAAGACCCGAUGAAAUUGUUGCUGCUAUAAGCAUUAGAUUGUAACUGAUAGCCAGGCUUCCAAGCUUAAUUCUGAUGUCUUAACUUGAGAUACUAAGUCUUUUAAUGACAUUUCUGCUUACAGAAACAGCACUCGUCGAAGGCAACCCUUAUGUAAGGCUUAUUUUGAUUAUUAGAGAAUGACUUAGAAAAUACUGUUAGCACAUAAGGAUUAGAAAUAAAAAGAAUUCUCUUUUCAGAAUAAGACUAAAGACUUAUUUCUUCAUCCAAUAACUCACUAACAACUAAGUCAACAGAAGGUAGUGGAGAAUGAUACAAAAUUGAACCUCUAAGUCCUUCAAAAUCAUUGCGAAUCACUGUUAAAAAAUGUAUCAAUCGUUGUUGCUCUUUAAGAGCAAUAUGGGCACCACAUGCCUUUAAUUCUGCCGAUUCUGUAAUAGCCAAUUGAUCUCAAAGAUCUAUCAUAGUAGAAUAAAACUCAUGUAUACUCAUAUUUUCCUGGUGAAGAGCUCGUAUAUCAUUCUCUAAUUGAUAUUGCUUUGCAAAAUUUGAUUGCGUGAUAACCUUUGCAUAUGAUCUCAAAUCUCCUUUGCUGUCUCAUACUUCGCCAACUAUAUACCUAUGGAAUGCUCAACAUAAUUGUUAAUCCAAAUAAUAAUCUUUGCAUUUCCAUACAUAUAUCAAAGUAGCAUAACCUUCAUUAGUAUUCUUAGGUAUCACGGAAGUUCCACUAACAUAUCCCCUCAUCAUUUUACUCUUAAAAAAAAUUAUCAUCACAUAACUCCAAUACGAAUAACUCUUUCCAUCCAACCUCACACUCACAGACUGAAGCGAAUCAUCUCUUUCAGUAGCCAUAAUCAACAAACAAAGAAAACUAGAACGCAAAAGAAAAGAAAAUGAAAUACUAGACUGUAGAAACUAAACAAAUAUCUUCUCGAAGUUGGAUAUGUGAAAGCUGUGUUUGAGAUUAACCUUUAUUUUAUGAAACCAUGCUCUGAUAUCAUGUUAAACAAUCCAAAGAAAUAAAAAGAAAUAUAAAAAUAAGAGAAGAAGAUGCUAGAGUUUCAUUAAUAUUGUGUGAUCAUAAUAAUCUAAAUAAAUAAGUUUAAUCUAAAUAUAAAAAGAUUAUAUAUAAAUUAAAAUAAAAAAAUAAUUUAAGCUGAUGAGAUCAUAUUGUUCCUUUGGUGGCUUCUUGAUGUUAAUCUCUUCAUGCCUUUUGAGUGUGAAUCGACCCUUCUAGGGCCCACCACAAGUGAAGUGGCGAACCAGGAGCCCAGGAGGGUCUUCUAUUUAUUUAUGCGUUUCAAAAAUGUUUUUUAAAUAAAUUAAAAAUUUUUUAUUUUUUUAUUUACUUCAAAUUAAUAUGUUUUUAGUGUUUUCAAAUUAUUUUGAUAUGCUGAUGACAAAAAUAAUUUUUAAAAAAUAAAAAAAUAUUAUUUUAAUAUAUUUUAAUACAAAAAAUUAUUUAAAAAAUAACCGCAACCACACUCCAAACAAAUUAGACCCUUAAGGCUGUUACAUCCUAAAAGAUGCUUCUAUGUCUAAGAUACCAAGUUGAGCAAUGACCUUCAAAUUUAGGAGGCCCGUACUCUUUCAAACCAGAAGGCCCAAAACUGAGCCGCCGCCACCGCAUAACCACAUCAUCCAACUAACCUGUUAGGUGGGAAGCCAUGUGGUCCCUUUUCUAUGUAGUUAACUUACUCGAUCUGAAAGAAGACUAGCUGUUGAAUUUUCAACCUCACCUCCACCUUCCUCGAAAAUUCUCAAAUCUCCAUUCUCAACACCAAAAGAACUCCAAUACCAUCAUUUAACCUCAUCGCCGAAACACCCUAACAAAACACAAAAGAUCCAAUCCUUUGCCUAAAAGAUGGAGAAUUCAACCCAAGAAUCCCACCUAAGAUCAGAAAACACUGUAACAUAUGAAUCCCCAUACCCUCUCUAUGCCAUGGCAAUCUCUUCAACCGCAUCUCGCACGAACCAAUACCAGCGGAUUGCUUUAGGUAGCUUCAUUGAAGACUACAACAACCGUAUAGACAUCGUCUCUUUUGACCCUGAAACCCUCUCUAUCAAAACCCACCAAAAUCUCUCUGUUGAGCACCCUUAUCCACCCACAAAGCUCAUGUUUAGCCCUUCAUCUCUUCACAAGUCCAAUGACCUCUUAGCCUCUUCUGGUGACUAUCUUCGAUUGUGGGAAGUUAGAGACUCUGCUUCUGUUGAGCCUCUUUUGGUGCUUAACAAUAGUAAGACGAGUGAGUUUUGUGCCCCUUUAACUUCUUUUGACUGGAAUGAUAUUGAACCUAAGAGAAUUGGUACUUGUAGUAUUGAUACAACUUGUACUAUUUGGGAUAUUGAAAAGGGUGUUGUUGAAACACAACUUAUAGCUCAUGAUAAAGAGGUUCAUGAUAUUGCUUGGGGAGAAGCAAGGGUUUUUGCUUCAGUUUCUGCUGAUGGGUCAGUUAGGAUUUUUGAUUUAAGAGAUAAGGAACAUUCUACUAUUAUAUAUGAGAGUCCUAGACCUGAUACACCGUUGUUGAGAUUGGCUUGGAACAAACAGGAUUUGAGGUAUAUGGCUACAAUAUUGAUGGAUAGUAAUAAAGUUGUGAUCUUGGAUAUUAGGUCUCCAACAAUCCCUGUUGCUGAGUUGGAGAGGCAUAUGGCGAGUGUCAAUGCUAUUGCUUGGGCUCCGCAGAGUUGUAGGCAUAUUUGCUCUGCUGGUGAUGAUUCACAGGCACUUAUUUGGGAGUUACCUACUGUGGCUGGGCCUAAUGGGAUUGAUCCAAUGUCAAUGUGCUCUGCUACUUCUGAAAUUAACCAGCUUCGAUGGUCUGCUGCACUGCCUGAUUGGAUUGCUAUCGCGUUUUCAAACAAAAUGCAGCUUUUAAAAGUUUGAGGUGAAUUGAUAUUCAUUUUUUGGUGUAUUACAUUUGAUGUUAAUUGUUAGUGUGUUAUCUUUGAUGUUAAAUUUUAGUGGUGGAAACUUGAGAGUGUUUCUAGUUAGGUGUUUGCUUCCUUUGGUUGAAUUCAGAUUGAUUCAUCUUGUCUUAUAUGUCCUUUUAUCCCGUUUUAGAGCUACUGACUUUUGCUUGGACGCGUUUUAUCUAGUUGUAUUGCUAAUUAAUUCUGCUUAGCUGUGACUAAAUAUACCAAAAUAACUUGUUACUAUUCUCAAUGCCAACAAAAGUUUGUCUUCAUGUUGAUUUUAUUUUAAUUGACAAACGAUGCUGUGGAACUAUUAAGAUAACAAUUGAAUUGCUCCUUACAAAACUACUUUGCGGCUUCUUUUAUGCCUGUGUAGCAUUUUAGUUGUUGUCUGCUGUUCUACGGAUCGACAGAAUUGUUGUUUACCUUGUGCAAUAUAAUUACUUGAAUACAUGCCGUUCAAAGUUUGAUUGGCAAAUAAAUGUUGAGAAUUUUGCAUCUUUGGGUUCUUUGUCCCCCUUGCUCCUCUUGGAUUCGAGGUUGCUUUUAGGCUCUUAGUUUUCAGCUCACUUUUACAUCCUCCAGGACUUCCUUUUCUAAAUGUUUGGUUGCUUGUCCGUGUUGCCUAUGUUCUACAGCCUGGCCCGCAAUUUUCCUUGGACAUUGUUGUUGAAUGGCUUGGUUAUGAUCCAGUCUUUGGUUGGUAGUAUUUAUGGCCAUGAUGAAUGCACCUUUUAAAUCCACCCUCAACAAUAGUUGCCUCCUUUGAGUCCGUUUCUUCUUUUAUUUUGCAAGACAGACAGAUUGCUAGUGAUGAAGGAGGGAGCUAGCAAGGGUCCUGGAUAGUUCAAAUCAGAUUUCAAUAUAUUUUCUAAUAUGUAAUGUAUCCAUCCAAUCUGACUUUAGUUUCUUUGUGGAUCAUUAUGGAGAGUUUUGAACAUCGAUGACUCUUGUCUUCAAUCUGGUCAAGUUCAUGGACUCAUCUCCCUUAUUAUGCUGAUGCAGUUGUGUUCCGGGUUUUGUGACUUGUAACCUUUACUUAGGCACCUGGUUUUUGGCACUGUGUUUAUACUUCUUCAUUGUAUAAAAACUGUUACAUCUCAUGGAAAAUUCUGCUUUGCAUUUACCUACCUUUUAUCAUAGAAAGUAGAGCUGAAACGUUUUAUCAUGGCUUCUUUGCUCAUGGCUUCUUUGCUCCCUUUAUGUUAAAAGAUCAUGGCAUACCAUGUUUGGAAUGCACUGCGAAGUUGUCUUACGUUCGAAAUUAACCCUGAGGGCUCGAUUUAAGUUUGAUUUGUUGAAAACUUUCAUGGCAGUGAUCAUUCAUUGGUGCACCUGUUAGAAAAUUUGUUUAUAAACAUGGUCAAUGAGCACACAAAUAAAUAAAUUAAAAGUGGGUUUACUCACUUUCGGAAUUAUUAGAAAUUAUUUUUCAACAGAAAUACCUUAAUAUGAAAUACUAAUAUUAAAUUAUGAAUAAAUAAAAAAUUAGUUUUAAAAAAAUCUUAGCUGACAUCUUUUGUGAAAACUUGAAAUCUUUUAUCUCAUAUUUAAAAAAUAUAAAUUUUCUUGUAAUUUAUAUAAUGAAAAAUUAAAAAGUUAAAAAAAGAGCCAAAAGGGCUUGUGCACUCCACAUAAUAUUCCGUUGGAGUUUAUGCUUGAUGUCCAUUGGUUUUACUGAUGAAAGAAUGUCAUCAAUUAAUUUCUUGUCAGGGAUUUUAUUUUUGUUGGUGAUUCUAUUAGGAGCUUAUUCUACUGAUGGAAUUGUUGAUGAAGUUUGCGCGCCAAAAAAAUAGCAACGUGUUUUUACUUUUGUCAAAAACCGACAAAAUAUAUCAUUGGUAAUGCUGUCAGUGUCGGCCAUGAAUUAAAUAUUACCAAUGAAAUUACCAUUACAGUGCUUCAUCAGAGUCCAGAAACUUGAAAGUAUCCAAUAAUUCUUCGACAAAAUUGGUUGCGAUAUUUUUUACGGACUCGCAGUCAGAAAUUUUUAUAUCCGGUGAUAAUUCUAUUGGUAUGUCAGUGAUUUUAUUUUCAUGUUCAUUUAUUAUAAUCUUGGUUGCCUUUUUUUAACCUAAAAUCAAAACAACAAAAUUGAACAACAAAAUUUUAUAAUAUUAAUUUAACAGUUAAUACAAAUAUUUUCAUUACAAUAAAAAAAAAUCCUAACAAGAUGGAGUUGGAAGUGAAAGGGGAGGAAAAAAAUCCUGAACCAUUGUCUAUGAUGUACAAGAGAAUCGAUGCUUUAUUUUUUCUUUGUUUGAAAGAGUUCAACAAUUCCUCUACUGUCAAAGACUGUCAAAUUGCCCCCAAAUUAUUUGGCAGUGUGAGUCAUUUCAGCAUUCCUUAAAAAGGCAUUCAUUUUUGGUAGGUAUCAUAACUAUUUUUCAAAAGAGAAACUAUUUUUCAUCCAUGAAGAUGCCCUAUAGUUAGACCAUGUUUUUAAAGUGUGGUGUUACUCUCAAAGGCUAACGGAGUUCACCAGUUCAAUCAUUGUCAUGGACUGUUUUGAGCCAUAUCGCUACCAACUGAUUUCAUAGCACAUAUUCUUCUCAUGGAAUUGCCCCUUAGCUAUUUUGGUCAUAAAUAGCAUUGCCCUCUAGUUGAGGUGACUCUUAUCCAUCAUCAUUAUUCAACCUUCUAGAUAGCCAUAUCAUUUGUUUUUCUAGUGGAUCAUAUGAGCUUCUCAUGCAUCAAUAUCAUCUUUGCCAAAGAAUUUUACAGACUCGAUCAAGGAUCAUUUUUUGUAAAUCAUUUUUCUUGUCUUGAGAAUAGACCAUAAAAUUUAAAAAUUGUAUUCUUUCAAAUCUAAUUGUUAAAAAGAAAUCAUUGAGAUGUAAAUUUAAAAAAAAACAAAUUGGUCGAGAACCUAAAAUAUAUCAUUAAAUGAUAUGAUACACUUUGAAUGUUGGGCCAAAUGUUAAUUGGGCUUAAGAAAAAGCAUUAUCUGGAUCUUGGAAAAUUAGGCAAGAAAAGGUUUAAAUGGAAAUUUUUUACUUUCACAAGGAAAACAUCUUGCUUAUGUUGCGUUAAACAUGUUCAUUUAUUGAUAAAGACUAAAUGGUUGCUAUAACGAGACCUGGUUGGACCACAUAACUAAGAUUUCCUACCUGAGAGCGAUCUUCUGAUUUAUCUUUUGUCAUUGUUCUAUAACCCAUGGUAUGACGUUUAAUUUUUCCCAUUUUGACAGCUUGUUCAAUUUUUUCAGCAAUCCUCACAUUAUCAUAGAAUUGUUGAGCCUAGUUUCCCAUCAGAUGCCCAUAAUAUAGGGAUUUGAUGGUGUUGGCGAACAACAUCACUAUUUUUAUUUCUAUUAGCGGAGGUUGGACAUGUGUUGUCUUAUCUCGCCAUUUUUGCGCAUAUGCCCACACAGACUCUUGGUUUCCCUUUUCCAUUGCCAUUAGGAUGGUUCUGUCAGGAGCAGAUUCAAAAUUGAAUUUAUAUUGCUUUAAGAAGGUGUCUAUUAGAUCCUUCCAUUUAUUAAUCUUGAAACUAUUCAGUCUUAUAUACCAGCUCAAGGCAAACCUUAUGAGAUUAUCCUGAAAAAAAAUAUUAGCAUUUUUAUCAUGGAUAACUUCAACCAUUUUAUUGCAAUAUGAUCGGAGAUGGGUGUUUGAACAUUCUAGCCUGGUAUACUUGAUGAAGUCCAGCACUCUGAACUCCUUCGAUACCAUAAUGUUGGAACCAAAUAAACUUCAGCUGCGUGUACAGGGUCAGUUAGAUUUCAAUUGCUCUCAAUCUCUCUUUUACAGCAGGCCACUUAUCAUAGUCUAUGAGACCAACAAAUCUAUCAUCAAAGGGUCCUUCAACGGUUAAAUCCACAGUGAUCAGAGUUUGAGCUAGCUGGACAGGGGUAAUGGGGAUAAAAUGUUGCUCUAUUGUUGAAUUUGCCCCCAAGUUCUAAGAUGUAUGAGGGAUAUAAGUUGAUGGUGUUUCCACAGGAGGUUGUGCAGACGUUCCUUUUCCAAUAUUGGAACUCAACGUUUGUUCUAGCCACUUCACCUUUGAUGCUCUCAAUUUCCUUUUUAUAAUGAGCCUACUUCUAAGCCUUUUCUUCAUUUAUCAUCAUUUACUUAGUCAAAUGUAGUGGACCUUCUAUAGGGGACCUACAUUUCAACCUGUGAACAUGCAUGCUAAAUGUAUGAGCAUGUAUUCAUAUGAUAAACUCGCCCUUCAAAGGGUGACAUAUAGUCAUAACUCUUGCAUGAUGAACAUAAAUUUUGAUUCUUGCCCAAACUCUACAACAAAAAUUUCCUGAGUAACGGCCAUUGUGUCACCCGUAAGUCCUAAAUGCUACAUAAAGGGUUUGCCUUGAUGCAAAACAUGUGUAAGGAGCAUAUACCCAAAGGUAGGUUCUAAUUCUUUUUAUGUGAGACAAAGGGUAGGUUCACUAUUUGAUCUCUAAAAGGGUCUCUUGCUCUUCCAGUGAUCACCCUCAUGAAUGUAAUAUUGGGGCUUAGUAGGCAACGUGAUGGAACGUGUACCAAUCAUUACCAAUUUAAGCACCCAACAAAGAGUUAGGGUUUACACAAAUUUAAACAUUGACUAAAAGUCAUAAGGUAAGUUGUUAGUCCCCCACCUAAUCUGAAGUUUCACAAUGUGUGCCCUUAUAACAAAAACAAAAUGUAUGAUAAAGCUCUUAAGCCAUUCAUAACUGAAAAAUAAAUAAACAUCAAUCUUUACAUAGCAUAAACAAACAAAACAAAACCUAGUCUAAAGGUCCCUAGCGAAGUCGUCAUCCUGUCAUACCCUCAUCAUCGAGGGCAUGACGUCAUAAUGACCUUUCCCAGACAGGGGUCUUGAAGGUCUUUUCAGUUGGUUGGGGAGUCACCACCUAGUAUUACGGCUACUAGGAACCCUAACUCGUUUUUUUUUUCCAGAGAUUCUAGGCAAGGGACUAGUUCCAUAAAAAAAAAGUAUUAGCACCCCUAGUACGCCUUACCUAAAGUAAACUGCAUUGUUUUUUUUAUUGUUUGCUAUAGUCUAAUGAUGUCUAUUUCUAUUAGCCUAAUAUGAUGGUUUUAAUACGAUGAACAAACUCUUGUUUUCUAUGUAAAAAACAUGGUCUAGGAAGGUGAAAUAUCAUCAAUUAUCAUUGAAGCUUCUUACUACCACAUCAUUCCAAAUAAUAUUUAAGAUAAAAUUUCUUAUGAAUUGUAUCCUUAUAUUAGAAGUGAAUGAGUUGUAUUAUUCACAAUAAUAUUUUGGAUAUUAACCUCAUAUAGGUUUUUUAUCCUUAUAUUAAAGUAAGUGAUAAAAAUAUUAUCUCUAAUAACAUUUUGGAUAUUAACCCCUUUUAUAUUUUUAUCCUUAUAUUAAAAGUGAAUAAUAUUUUCUUGCCAAAUAUAAUUUUUUAAUAUUUAUUAAAUAUAGGCCAACAUCCUUUGAAAUUUUACAAACUUGUUAUAAAAUCCAUGCAAUAAGUUUUUUUAAAAGCAUGCAAAAAUAUUUUAAAUUUUCUUUGAAAAACGAUGCUCAAGUAACUUUAGCAUUUUAUGGCCAUAUGCAAGAAAAAAUAAAAUAUUUUUUAUUAUUUAUCUUCUAUUUUUUUAGGCUUUGUUUGUAAAAAUUCAUUUUUUCUUGUAAUAAAAUUAUCAAAAAUAAGUCUAGUUAGUGUUUGUCAAACACACCCUUAAACCAAAAGUUCCUUUAACAACAACAUGGCAAACCAAAUAGGGUAUUAAAAUCCUUUGACCUCGAUUUUUUGUUAUCGGGUCGAUCUGAAAUUUUGGUUCAACCAUAAACCAACCCAAAAAUUAUGGUUUGACCCGAAAACAUCCCAAAAAAAAAAACCAAAGUAAAAAAAAAAACAGAUUAAACAUAAAAAAAAUAAAAACUCAAAAAUUCUUGAACAAAAUGGAUCAAACACUACAAAAAAAUGAAGAACACCAAACAUGAACCUAACAACGUGGGUUCCAAAACAAACCAAAUUUGAUAAAAAAAAAAAAAAGAAGAAGAAGAAGAAGAAGGCACAUACAUGUAAAUCACACAAAGAUCAAUAAUCUAACAUCCAUUCUUUUCAAUUUUCACUUAAACAUCAUGAUUGUGUCAAAAUGAGUUUCGGUUCUAAACCAAAACCCUGGAAUUAAAAGCUACUAAAAUCAUGUUAUUGAUGCAAAUAAAUACUAAAUUAUUGGUUAAUAGUGCAUAAGGAAGGGUUCUAGGUAAAUAAAUGAGACAAAACAAGUCAAAAUUAUGUAGCUAAGGCGUUCUCGGUAAGAAUACGAAGAACAAAUAAAGAACAUUCAACGUGAACCCAACAACGUGGCUCUCAAACCAAACCACAUAUGGACAAACCAAAGACACAUAUAUGUUGGAAAUUAUGCAAUGAUCAAUAAUUUAGCAUUCAUUCACUUCGAUUAUCAAUGAAUUAUCAUGAUUUUGCUAAAAUGAGUUUCGAUUCAAAACUAAAACUUUAUGAUUAAACAUCUUUUAAACUCGUUAUUGAUGUGAAUAAACACUAAAUUACUGGUUAAUCAUGUAUAAGAAAGGUGUAUGUGCAAAAACCAUGAACCAAAAUUGGUCUAAAUUUAGGGGUAAAGAAAAUGUUAUUUCCAAGAACACGAAGAAUAUUGCCUAAAACCCAGAAAAAUACCUAGAAAUGCCCAGAAAUGGCAACCCCUGCCAAGCCCAAAAUUGGCAGCCACUACCAAGCCUAGAAAUAGGCAUUUUUGGCCUCUAAAACAUGCAUUUUUAUCCCAACAAGUCAUAAUAUCAUACACAAACAUGUUUGAAUCUAAAAAACUAACAAAAAACAUCAAAAUCAAGUAAAAGGUACCAAAUAAAAAAAAACAUAAACUUAAAACAGACUAUAUGUUCAUAUAACAUAGAUUCAAAAUUGGUUUUCUGAACCCAUUUUGUGCAUGAACAGACUUAGUAAACUCAGGGUAAAACAUCAUUUCUUUAACAUGCAUAGCUUAAGUUAAACAAAAACUAAGACAACAUUAUAUAUCAUAAACAAACUUAAACAACAACUUUAAUGUAUCAAGAACAUAAAAUAAACAUAAAAAUCAACAUCAUUAAAUAUAUAUAUAAAAAAAAAGCAGCAACAAAAAAUCAAAUACAACAUUACUUGUUGAGCAUUCAAACUUCUUUUCCAUGCUUAUAGACAUAAAUAUAAAAUAAAAGUAAAUAAAAAAAACAUUAAAAGCAUGCCACAAAGGACCUACUUUUAAAUCCAAAAAGUACAUGUAAAAUAGAUACUCUCUCUUUGAUUUCUCUUGGAAAUUUUUGCCUGUCAUAAACUUGUAAAGCUAAGAAAUCUUUUGUUUAGACUCUUGGACCUCUACACUUGUGUUUCUUAUUGAUAUUUUUCUUAUCCUUUCUUUUCCUUUUCUCCUCCUCAUCCCCCUUCUUUUUUUUCCUUUUUUACUUGGGGGUAUUUAUAGGGUUUUGCUAGGGUUUUGAGAGGUUUUGAAUCCAUUUCCGAUCUCUUGAUCUUGAGGGAGGUGUUGUAAACCCUUGAUAAAGACCCAUUGAGAAGGCUUUGUGUGUGAACUCAUGAAAAAUAGGUCGGUUUUUUUCUUGAGAGUUGCACUGUCGGGGCUGACUUAGUUGCCCACUUUCGAGGCAUUGUCAGAGCAAUUCUAACGUCAUCGUUGCCAAAGACCACCUAAAGUUGGUGGAGGGGAUGCAUACCUUUUAAUUUAGCCCCUGAUUUGGUCAGUUUCAGCCCCUAUAUUCACACGUCUUUUCCAACUUGGUCAUUGGUUUUGGAUUUCUUCAAAAAAGUCUCAAAUGGCCCAUCAAACUUCAAUAUUUAUGCAAUAAAAGCCUUGAUUUGACUAAAUUAACUCCUAAAAAUUGCAAUUUGAUCCUCAAACUUCAAUUUCUUCUAGUUAAAGCCUAAAUUGACUUUAAAAAUCAAUUUUUCUUAUAAUUAAGCCCGUAAUAAAUUCAAAUAGACCUUGAAAAAUUAUAAUUAGGUCCUUAAAUAUCCAAUUUUAAAUUUUCCUCCUCAAAUUAGAUUUUCUUUGCCAAUAAGGCCUUCAUUAGUCGAAAAUACACUAUCAAAUUUUUCAAUCUUGUAUAUUUGAUCUUCCUCAAUCAGUCUUUGACUAUUUCCUAGGAGUUCUGGUAUACUUUGUUCCCUGAUUUAUAUUUUUUUAUUUUCUUCCAAUAUUUUUUUUUUUUUGUAUUUUAUCUUUUUUUUUUGUUUAUGUGGGACCCUAAAAUGGAUAAUAACAAUUUUUUUCAUUUUUUAUUUCAUUUUUGUUUAAAUAAAUCUUGAAAAUCAUAAAAAAAAUAUAUAUAUAAUGCAAAAAUAUAAAAAAUUCAAAAAUAAUUUAUUAUCAUAUGAAAAAAAAAAUGAGUUUAGGAUUUUUUGGGGCUGAAUUGAAGUUUGAAUUGAAGAGAAAAUUAAGAAAAUAACUUAAUUUGAUUUAAUUUGACUAAGAACCAAAGAAAUUCAAAAUUCAAGAAUGAUUUUGAAAUAAAUAACUAAGUUAAAAAUCAAUGAAAAGCCUAAUUGAAAAAAAAAGUUAAAAUCAAGAGUUAGAUUAGUCAAAAUUAUACAUUUAAUAACUAAUGAAUUUACAACAAGGGAUUAUAUAUGAAGUUCUAAAUUUAUCCAAUUAAAGAUUUCAUUGAAAAAAAAGAGAGAUUUAAGGUUUAAAUAAUAGAGAAUUCAAGAUUUAAAGCCCUAAUUGUAUUAAAUUGAAAAAAAAUUAAAAAUCAAGGACUAUAAUGAAAAGAGGGAAAUAUUUCAAGGACCACUUAACUAUUUAUAUAAUUUCAUUUCAAUCCUAGUUGUUUCUUUACAAUCAUUUUAGUCCAAUUAAAUACCAAUCUAGUCCAAUUCUUUCCAAUUAAUUCAAUUCAUUCCAAUUUAAUCUACUGAUUUUGUCCAAAUUAAUUGAAUUUAGUUCAGAAUCCAUUCAAAUCAAGGAAUCGAUUUCGUAUCUUUCAGUUACAAUCCCAGCUCUCAAAUCGAGAUCAACCCAUCUUCAACUUUGAUUGAUAAACGUGGGAUUUUAUUCUUCAGCUAUAAUCAUGGGAUUGCAUCUUAAUGCCUGAAUCAGCUCCUCAAUCCCAGAAUUCCAGCCAGUCUUCAAUCAAAUCUCCAAGAAUCAUUCAAAUUCCAACCAAACAUUUUCUCUUCACAAAGGGAACGCAUAACAAAGAACACAAGGGGUAUUCAUCAGCCUAUAAAGAGCAUUGAACAAAAAAAUCCAUAAACACCUGCAACCUUUUUCCAACCUAUUAAAGCGUUAAAAUUAUUUUUUAAAAUAUUUUUUUAUGUAAAAAUAUAUUAAAAUAAUAUUUUUAUAUUUUUUUAAAAUAAUUUUUAAAAAUUAUACAUCAAAAUAAUUCAAAAAAUACUAAAAAAAAAUUAAUUUUUACCCAAAAUUUUUUUUAAGGUAACACGCAUUCCCAAACGUUCUUGAAAUUGGGAAAUUUCCCAGAUUUCUAUCAAUCUUUUUCAUCUCUCAGACAAGGAAAACACAAAAAAAGGAAAAGACAGCCUUUAAUUCCAGGGAGUCUCCACCAAAACAAACCAACCAUCAUCCAUAACCAGUAGCCUUCACCACCCUUGACCAUCACCAUACUCAACCUUCAAAGAACCAGAGAGCCUCUCAACCGAUGCCACCACCAUCUCAGGCUCCAACCGAGACAAGCCUUCACUCCCUCAUGGAUUGACCCAAUAACCAUCACCACUCUCAACCUCACCCAUUUCUCGUCCACUGCCCAUGACAGCGCCCCCAGUAGCUCCACCACAGCUCUGCCUCAACCACCGAGUUCUACUUCCACACCCCAUAGCAUCACCAACCCACGAAAAAAGACUCAUAAAGCCUUGAACCUAGCAGUCUCCUUAGGUUAGCUGAACCAAAAACCAGACAUCUUUCCCCUCCUCUGGUCAAAGUCCCAUAAUCCCAUUAAAACAACCACCCACAAGAUCAAAACCUCAUCACAGACCCAUAUUCCCUCUUUCACGCCAGUAUCCUUGACCCAUCUCCUGUCCCCCUCAUCAAACCAUCUCUCACAACCGCAACAAUCAAGACACCCAAAAAAAAAACUCAAAACCACUUCCUUCCUCUUCUGUCACCCCUCCGGACCACAGCAUCGCCCGACCAGCACAAAACCAACCACUACAGCAGUUGACCGAGCCAGCAACGUCCAGCCACCACACACAGUCGGCAUCUCCUCCAGUUAGCCACCUAAGUUCCUGUACUUGUGUUAAUAAACCUGAGAGCAAAAGACGAAGAAGCAGAAGAGAAGAUGAUGAUGUCUUAUACUGCCAAAUUUAAUUCUUUCCUUUACAGGUUCAUUUUAAUUAACGAAUGGGGAAGACACGCACACACCAUUUCCAGGACAAUCAAUUGAGUAGCGCGUGAUUUGCACGCGCGCCACGUGCUCCUAUGUUAUUUCCCAGCAAAUUUUGGUGUUUAUUUUCACCCUCGAAGAUAAAUUUCGAGCCCUGAAUAAAUACUUUCAUUAUUUGUGUGUUUAAA
Molecule: long non-coding RNA, 49335 nt
Filed under: Populus trichocarpa (black cottonwood)
Lineage: Eukaryota; Viridiplantae; Streptophyta; Magnoliopsida; Malpighiales; Salicaceae
Description: long non-coding RNA (PTRI_LNC002834)
Source: RNAcentral